Molecule: long non-coding RNA, 45341 nt
Filed under: Sorghum bicolor (sorghum)
Lineage: Eukaryota; Viridiplantae; Streptophyta; Magnoliopsida; Poales; Poaceae
Description: long non-coding RNA (SBIC_LNC004621)
Source: RNAcentral
GGGGCCAGGGGGUCUGGUUUUAUAGUCCCCUCAAGUGAACCUGGGCCGACGGAUCAAACCGACAUUGAUUGAACGGUUAUUCUUGAUCCUUUAGGUCGGUGGAGCAUAAUCCGCGAGAUUGAGCGUGAUUGGCCACAGGAGGUGGGCGGGCGCCCAGUAGGACAGGGCGGGCGCCCUGUCUCUGGCCCCGAUUCGCCUCCGCUUCGGUCUCGUGGCUUCUGGAGUCUUCUAGAUGUAAGAUAAUUGCGCGGCACGUUGAUAUCUCUAUGUAAUCCCGACGUGUGGGCCUUUCUUCCUUAUUUCCUGAUACCCCCCUGCAAAAAUAGACAAACACCAAAACUCGUGGAAUUCUGUCAGAUAAAACCCUAAGUCUUGAUGUUGAUUUCAUUUUGGUCCUUUUCUUUGUUUAUUUGAUAGUUAAAUUUGAUACUUAAGGACCGUCAACAAACUCCCCCAAGCUUACCUCUUGCUCGUCCCUGAGCAAGGAUAGACUCAGCUAUGGAUCAUAGGUUGUUGCAAUAUCUUUAAAAAUUGACGGUACACAUGCUUUUAAAUGAGGUCUCAUCUCUGAGUUAGAGUAAACUGUCAAGACUUAAAACUUACUUACUUUACCUUUUACCAUGGGACUUGUAACCGUCACUUCUGUAUUGAGUGGUUAAAAGAUAGAACAGUCUAGUCAAGUGCCAUGUCGCUUAUUCUUGAUCAGCUAUAGCUCUGGAGUUUUUGCAGAUUUUCAAAUAAAACUCAGAGAUUCCUUUGUAUGACUCUCUCAUAUCUCUCUUUUGUGGUAUUUCUGGAUCCUUACCAAGGCAGUGAUGCUAUAUGCCUUAUCUCAAGAUAUGUGGUAUUUGUGGUAUAAGGCAUAGUGACAUUGCCUUCUCUCUCACCCUACUCUAAUAAGGCUUUAAUAUCUGGAGCUCAUAGGUGGGAGAUAAAAUAUACAUACUUACAAGACAUUUAUUGUAUAGUCAAACCAUGGAUCCAAAGAAACAAAUCAAUAAGCCAAAUCAAGAUGUGCAUGUGUGGCGAAUGAAUAGUGUAUGGUGAUGAUGGUGAUAACAAUGGUGAAAGUCUAAUUCUACUUUUGCUCUUUUGAGGAGAUACAUACCUUCCUUGCUUUUUGAAACUUUAUGAGGAGAAUGAGAUGCUCUUCUUUUUCUUUUCUCUCAGAUGGGUAUCCUGUACCCCUAACUCUACUGUCGGACACUUGUCCAUUUUUACCUCUCGUCUCACUCUUUUUCUUUUCUUUCGAGGUUCCGGGCACUUGCCCCUUUUUAUUUCCUCAUUUAUUUUUUUUUCUUUUCUUUUUUUUUCUCUUUUUUUUCAGAGCACUCAUCUCUUGAGAUAAUAUAGCAAGUGGUAGUAGCAAGAUAACUUGAGCAUUUAUUUCACAAGGGAAAAAACACAGAUGUUUUUGGCUAUUCUCUCCCGAAUUAGGAGUAGAAUAUUUUUAGGUGAUUCUGGAGAUGGAAAUGGAUGGAUAUACGUGGAUGGUACUUCCGGGGUAGAAGUAGCAUAUAUAUGAGUGAACGUGCAAGUGAAUCUUGAUUUAACCACAUGACAAGCUCCUAAGGGUCUACACAGCUUGACCACACUCAAUGCUCACAAGCAGUAAAUAAUAAAUGUGUGGCUCAAAGUCUAGCAAGCAUGUAUAUAUGGCUGUGGUAGGAAUUUAAACUUUCAUCAUACAGGAACUCAUCAUGCAACAUUUUAAAGAUUUUUCAAAGAUAAAAUUCCCCAGAAUUCUAGCAUCUCUAGGAAUAGAUAAACAGCAGCUCAACCUUCCCAUAUCAUAUCCGUUAACAACUUAGAUUUCAGAUCAAGUUUUCAUCCCACAAGUUUGGAUCUAGAGCAAGCUUUAAAUUAUAACAGUUAUGUCUAAACUUGAGAGAGAACUUCAAAUUUGCAAAUUAGGCAGAGCAACUAUUCAUCAUAUCCAUGCUAGAGUUUUAUUAUUAAGAUUCAGAUUAGCAUAGCCACUUUAUUUAUUUAUUAAACACACUAAGCAAAAGAUAUAUAUAUAAGCACAAAAUCUUUAUUUGGUUUUUCAUAGUUUAUGUAUUUUAAUAUUCUAAUAUAAUAUAAGUAUAAAGAUAGGUAGAAAUACUUAGCGAGAUAAAUGGGGGUGCUCCCCCCAAGCUGAAUUUUGACGUAAUUUCUCUUGAUGUAGCUAGCAGGUGGCAGAGGUGUAUUUGAAAGUCAGCAGUAUUCUGACAGCGAUUAGAAUGUCCUCCGUCUGCUAGUCUUCUUGAUUCUUAAAUUCUGUGGAGCUUAAAUAGACAACAAAGCUUGUGGAACUAAUUAAGUGUUAGCAUAAAUAUCUAGCCUUCAUCACGUUGAGCUUCCUCAAUAAAUAUUACUCCCUAUUUUUAUAUUUUUAUUUUAUAAAGUAGAAAAGAAAUAUUUAUUUUAUUUUUAUGCCACCACAGUGAAGGUACUUAUGGGUUUUAUGCCACUCGUAUACUCACAUGGGGCUUAGUAUUUCUAACAUUUUUAUUUUCUUUUCAAGAUAGCAUGAUUAACUAAUAAUCUAUUUAAGGAAAGUAAAUAAUUAAAUGGAAAAGGGAAUGCAGAAAGGAUAAAUAUGGAUAACUACCAAUCUUACCUUUCAGCGAGGGUUCAAUGUUUUAAGUCUUCUUGUUAAGACUUCUCAUCGUGUUCAUUCUUCAGGUGCGUCAUUUGAUUCAGGUGCGGACCUUGACGUCUGCACCUUUUAAUACGGUGUCACCCAUGUUCUUCGUUUGCCCAGGAGUUCGAAGUACGAUGUUAGCAGUAUCUUGCUCAAUGUGUUUGUGCUCGUAGUGUACCUGCUCAUAGAGACAAGGCAGAGAUCAAGUGCAUGGGCCCUGUUGGUGGAAAACACCAACAGAACCAAAAGUGUAUUUGUUCUUCUCUAGCCUUAAGCAUAGUGAGCAAGACAAGUUGAUGGAUGAUAUGUUCAUGAGUGUAGCACUUAUAACAUUUGUCAAAUCAGAUCGCUCAACCUUAUGGAAAGAUAAUCUAUCUAUGUAUAUGUCUUUCUCUUUAUAUCUCUCAAUGAUUGAAUGUGUAACAUUUUAGCUCAUAUGAUUAGGAGUGUGGGAUCAUGGAGGUAGUACUAAGAACAAGGAUUAAAGGACUAAACAUGUUGAAUCAGUUGGGUUGGUUAAUCUAGAGUUGUAAAUCAUACACGUUUGUCUCUUUUAUUUAUAUGAACGCCAGAACCAAGGAGAAGCUUAUAAAAGAGAUAGUCAAGUACCUUAAGAUGUUACCUUGCUUGAAGAGUGAUGGUACAGUAUCAUCUUGUGGAAGCUUUCCUUUCUUAGCGGUUGUGUGUCGUGUUUGUGGCACCUUCCAUGGAUCAUCUCUCUAUGAUGAAUGAGCUAUGUCCUUCUUGUGCAAAUUGUUAAACUUCAUGUGUCACUCUCUUCGUCUCUAAUGUGAGUUUAUCUCAGGACUUCCCAAAUUGAUAUUGAAAGUUUUUCUGCAGGGGUUAGUCCGACAAAAUAUUCCAAUAUCUACUCAAGCAGUUUUUUUUAGUUCAAUAACCAAACUAGACUCCAUGUCUAAUCAGAUUAAGGAAGGCUAUUUAACCUAAGCACCAUGCUUAAUUUAAAUGCCAAUGGAAGUAUGGCGAGUACUUCCAAACCAACACUUGCUAGUAAAUAGACAAAGGUAGCAUGACAGCGUUUAUAGAGAUCUACUCAAGUGGAGAUGAAGUAGUGUGAUUAGUAUUUAACAAAUUGAGCAUGUCUCAAAGGUAGGGACAAUCAGCAUAGCAACAUGGCAAAGGAUGUUUUUAUGUAAAGUACUCCCCCAAGCUUGAAUUUUGCAAAAUUCAAGUUUGGAUGAAUUUAAUUCAAUGUUGUAUGAUGAUUGGUUGGACAUACCUUGUGCUUGUCAUUCAUCCGAUCUUCUUGCUCCAAUCUUAGAAAGGUUAGUGACAAGAAUACCCGAAGGACUAUAUUUUUUUUUACAAUUAUCCUUAUAUGCUCAAUACACAAGGUAAUGUUGCAAAAAAAUUAAAGGCUCAUGUUACGAUCUGAUCAAUGCUUAUUUUAAGACACUAAGCUUGUCCUUGGGAAACCAUCAGUUUAUGCUGGCGAAGUGGUUUCCCCUCCGACACCAACCUAUAUCUAGAUCAACUCAACGAGAUCUGCAAUAUUUAUUAUAGACAUAUGCAUCGACAAUCACCCUUUUAAAUUUUUUAUAAAUAGAAAGGAAGAGGGGGUUGGAGAUCUCAAGUGUGGUGAUGUCGGAGAGACCAAUAGAUUGGGAAGAUGUUGCAUAUGAGCAUGGAGUAAACGAAGUGGCUAUGAAAUAAAUUCCAUGCUCAUUAAUGUUAUCUUUGUCUCCAAUCUGAAUGUUCGGAGUUUCUCCUGGAUUGGUCUCACCUAUGUCCUCUUCUGUAGUUGGAUGAAUCUCAUCUUCAAAGGGAGUCAAGAACUCACCAUUUGAAAUUGAGCCAAAGUCAGAACCCAUUAAGGCUUCUUCCUUAUCCAUCCAUUCUACACAUUCUAGCCAUUUAGAACUUGUGAUCAAAAUAGGGGAGGUGUUAGAAUUUUCUAUAUGGCUUAGCUCUCCAUCUAUGGCAUUACUUGACAUGCCAUCCUUAUGGUCUUCAUGACUCCUAUGGUUUGGUCGUCUUGGUGAAUUGCUAGGAUCAUCAUGAGACUGAAAAGAAGAGGGAUAAGAGGGAUCUCUAAGGUCAAGGAUGGAUUUAGAAGUUGUGAACAUGGAAGGGGAGUAGAUAGAAUUGUCUAUAUGGCUUAGCUCUCCUUCACUUGAUAUGUCAUCCUCGACUUCUUCAUGAUAGGAACCAGGUAUUGAUGGUUUAGGAUCGAUAGCUAAAGUUUGGGAUUGAAGUGGUUGUGAUCUGGCUAUCGAAACUUCUUCUUCUUGUCUAGGAACUGGUUCUUUCUCUUUCUCAGGGAUAUAAAAGCUAGGAGACUUUCCGCUCAUUAAAUCAAUCAAAUUCCAAGCUUCACUAGCGGAUAGGUGGUGGAAAGAUCCUCCAGAGGCCGCAUGAAGGGUUUGCUUAUUUUUCCUACUAAGGCCCUCAAAAAACUGAAUUAGAAGAACUUCUUCUGGAAUAGAAUGUUUUGGGCCAGUGAGAGUAAGGUUAAUAAAGCGGUCCCAUGAUUUGCCAAGAGAUUCUUCUUCCAGUUGUCUAAAAGAAAGAAUCUCACGCCGAAGUUCCACCACUUUGGAGAUUGGAAAAUAUUUAGAAAGAAAACUACUAUAUAACUCCUUCCAAUCUCCAUGAACACUCCCUACUUUGAGUUUAUACCAAUGUCUAGCUUUUCCCGUUAAAGAGAACGGAAAGAGCUUCCAUUUAAGGGUCUCAUUGGACAUGCCUUCUAUGUGAAGGAGGUCACAGACUCGAUAAAACUCUCUUAGGUGUGUGUAUGGGUUUUCCUCACCUUUUCCUGAGAAAGGUUGUUUUUGAAUAAAUUCUAUGUAUUCGGGGUCUAUCUCAAAACUAGAUGCUAUGAUAGGCUUUGAAGAUUUUGGUGGUUCGAGAUGUGUGCCCAUAGGUCUAUGAAAUUCAUAGAUAGACAUGUUUGAAUUCAUAAUAGACCAAAGAAUAGCAGAGAUGAGGCAAAGGAUAAAAGGAAAAUAUAUUAUUUAUUUAUUUAUUUAUUUAUUUAUUUAUUUAUUAUAAAAUGAUUAAACUAGUUCGUAGUCAACUCAGCAACCGUUUCCCCGGCAACGGCGCCAAAAAUGCUUGUUGACACUUGCUAACACCACUUGAAUACUAGGUUGUCAUCCCCAGCGUGGCACUAGAGUGUACUAUGGUAUUUAUACGCACACAGAUAAUCCGCAAGCGCACGGAUACCGUUGAAGCUUUUACCCGGUUAAAGGUUUUAUCGUAUCCACAGGGAAACGGGAGAACUGAUCUACGCUCUAACUUAACCAAGAUAAGUAAAUAGGUGUGAAUAGGAAAGAUGGUAGAAUCGAAUAAGAACAAUAUUAAAGGUAAGAUAACAGUGAGUGAUAAUAUGGGAAUAGAGAGUAGAGCAAUUCUAGUAUAUGGGCGAUGGUAGCAGAAUAGAGAGGAUAACUAUGGUUUCUCUACUUCAAAGGGGUAUGUCUAUGUCUGGGACGAACCACGUGAUAGGAGUACACCACAAAGGAUGCUUAUCCAUAGGCCGAUAAACCCUACCCGUCCUGCUAACGAGAGGUGGACUACAGGGGACCAACGUAACUGUCACCUACGCGGCCUACCACACGAUCCAGCUAGUCAGGGGAUAUCCACAAGUAAUCUAGGUCUAAGCACCACGCUUACACCUAUACUACAACUCUAACCUAUAGGGUCCUAUAGAUUAGAAGUACUCAAAAGAGUUGUGAACCAGAACAUACAUGAUUAGUAAUUGCAUAAUGAAUUAGAAGUAGAUUACCAGAGUCAUCCCAUGAGCAAGCUUGAUUAGAGCUUGAUCAUGGCGAAGUACAACCGGAGGAAGAACCGACAGGCCGGCCUCUCCUCUAAUCCUCCUUCGCUCUCCAUCUCGCUACUAUCUAGAUCUACUCUAGUUUAGAGAAGAGAGGAGAGCUCUCAUCUCUAAACCCUAGCUUUUGCUCUGUCUAUGAAUAAUGAAUAAUGAUCAAGGGGUUCCUCCUCCAGGGGCCAGGGGGUCUGGUUUUAUAGUCCCCUCAAGUGAACCUGGGCCGUCGGAUCAAACUGACAUUGAUUGAACGGUUAUUCUUGAUCCUUUAGGUCGGUGGAGCAUAAUCCGUGAGAUUGAGCGUGAUUGGCCACAGGAGGUGGGCGGGCGCCCAGUAGGACAGGGCGGGCGCCCUGUCUCUGGCCCCGAUUCGCCUCCGCUUCGGUCUCGUGGCUUCUGGAGUCUUCUAGAUGUAAGAUAAUUUUACGACACGUUGAUAUCUCUAUGUAAUCCCGGCGUGUGGGCCUUUCUUCCUUAUUUCCUGAUAACCCCCUGCAAAAAUAGACAAACACCAAAACUCGUGGAAUUCUGUCAGAUAAAACCCUAAGUCUUGAUGUUGAUUUCAUUUGGAUCCUUUUCUUUGUUUAUUUGAUAGUUAAAUUUGAUACUUAAGGAUCGUCAACAAGAUCCAGGAGUUGUGGUUUGCUCCUUUCCCCACCUGGUUUCCAGCAGCCCAAGAUCAGAGGGCUCAUGCCAGAUUCUACACAAUGGUUCAGGAGGACAUGUACUAGACAUUUGUCCAUGCUGAGACUCAUUUCAGGGAUCAUAGGGCGCUAGACAUUGAGGUGCUAGGGAAUGUGGUAGGUGCGGAUAUCAGACAGUUCUUCACAUACCUAUUAGGGUUCCCAGGUCUGCUUGCUUUGCCGGCACCUACGUCAAGGAGUGGGUCAGAGAGUUCUAUGUUUCAGUUUGGAUAGCUCCUGACCACAGCUACAUUCACUAUGCACUGGUAGGCACAGACUACAGAGUGCCAGCUAAGAGGGCUAGAGAGGUUUUGGGGCUGACAUCUUAUGCCACCAGGAUUGAUGAGUUGUGCUAUGGUAAAUUUGAGCCCCCUCAACGACCACACGGCGGUGCACUCCCCCAUGUUGACUUUGUUGUGCCGUGUUUUCGUCAGCCUUACGGUGAGGGCUCGAGUAGGAUAGUGGGUGAUCUUACACGCCCAGCUCAGAUCCUAUACUUCGUGAUGAGGAAGACUCUUCUUCCCCAGAUUGGCUAUAGAGAUAGUUUCACCAGGAUCCAGCAGUGGUUGAUAGCUCAUCUGAUUGCUCAGAGGCCUUUUGACUUGUGGGAACUGAUAGUGUCAGAGAUAGAGGACACAGUUGCAUAGGGAUUCAGGGGUCGCCGUCAGCUGCCGUACGCACAUUGGAUCACUUUGCUUAUUCUUCGUGCUAGGCCAGAGCCCCAUCUAGCUCACGUUCAGAGGGAGUUGACACAUGCCGACAUAGUGUUCCCACACUACAACCCCCGACAGAUGUUAAGAGCGCACCAUGAUCUUCGAGCUCCAACUCCUCCUCCUACACCACGUGGCUAGGUGCCACCAGCUUCACCUAGGGCUACACGCAGUUUAGGGGCAGUCCCAGAGAUAGAGGAGGAGCAGGACAUAGCUAUUGGGGCAGUAGCAGAUGCUGAGGCCGAGGAGGAGUUUGAGUUUGCUUCAGACAGUUCAAACAAUGAUUAUCGUCUCCUUGUACCAGAUCUUCCUGAGAGACAGCACGACCACAAGGCAGGAGGCUCUUCUAGUGCCAUAGAACCAGCUCUGCUAGCUAUACUAGAGGGGAUGAUGGUAGAUCAGUGUAGAGCAGCUGAGGAGCAGGCUAGGAGGAAUAGAGACCAGGUUGCCAUCAAUGCAGUCAUGUAGGCCAGGCAGGAUGAGCUUUAGAGACAGCUCUCCUGACCUUUCAGGAGCAGCAGCUGGCUUUCCAGGCCCAGCAGACUGCCAUGAUGGCCGCUCUUAUGGCUGCAUCAGGGAUCCAACUACCGCAGAUACAGCUUCCUGGCACCACUUCGGUCAGGCCUCCGACUCCAGUGCCACAGCCCAGCGGGCUUCAAAAUCAGUCCAAGGUGCCGCUUCAGCUACCCGCUCAGAGUUAGCCGUUCUCGACUCCCCAGCACCAGGUCUCGCACGGUGCGAUCUCUUCUGGUUUUGAGCAGGUGCCCCAGUUUACCUCUCUACGCUCAGGCUUUACACCGCAGUCAGCUACAGCUUCACAGCUUGUUGGAUUCGUCGACAGGGCAGCAUAUCUCUUUCUCGUACAGUGCUUUGACUGGUGACCCUACGCCUUCUCCACUGUAGGCUCUUGCAGCUUUUACUCUCCCAUUCACCACUACUGAGCGCCUGUCAUUGUCAAUGGCCUUGUUCGAGCAGCUAGCACCGUCUUCUACAGUGCCAGAGACGUCAGCUAUAGCUACAGAGUCUGUGCCAGCUUCUUCAGUAGGACUUGAGCCACAAGCACAGACAGUGACAGCUAUAGAGCCCACAGAGCAAACCCGAACAGAUUCUCCAGCUCCUGUAGUUUCCGAGGGUCACUCCACCUCCUCCGAGUAGACGGCAGAUGGUUCCGAUGAUGCUGCUCAGUUCCAGGCCGUGCCUCGCGACUCCACUACUCCACCUCCGCCUCCUUCAUCUUAGGUUUUUGGCGCUUGAUGCGAAAGGGGGAGAGAGUUGAGAGUAUGAUAGAGGUAGGGGCAGCUAGCUAGUGAGUGAGUGGGCUUUGAUUAUUUUGUGUGCUUUAUGCUACUCCAUGCAUCAUGUCUAUCUUUAUGCAUUUGUGUGAGUUACCUUGUUUGUGAGAUACACUUAUGGUUGUGAGACAUGACAUUUGCUUCACUGUGAUAUCUUUAUGUCAUGUGUUUGGCUCAUAUUACUUUGCUUCCGCGUUUUUACUCUGAUGUACUAUGAGCCAUAUGCUAUUACAUCCUGUUGUAUACAUCUCACGUAUUUGGAUGCAAGAUGAUAGACUUGGUUGAUAUAAGCGUGCCUAAUCCCUCUUGUGUUCUUAUUGUCUCAUGCUUAUAGAAACCAAGCCUUUUGAAAACCUCAUUUCUUUCAUACUCGAGGUCAUUGUCAUCAAUCACCAAAAAGGGGGAGAUUGAAAGAGCAUCUAGGCCCCUAAUGAGUUUCGGUGAAUAAUGACAAUGUUGAUUACUGUGACUAACAUGUGUUUUGCAGAGGCAAAGUCAUUAGUGUUAGGUCAUGGUAAUAGGUACUCGAUGAACAGGGACGUACAUGCCUACUUAAUAGUGGAAAUCAUUUUUGUUUUCAAAGGAUGGAUGGACAUCGUCAAGACUAGACUAGGUCUAAGUGCCAUAUGGUGAAGAAGGGCACUUAGAGUAGUUCAGGACUUUGUUUUCCUUUGACCGUACUAUUAAGAGGGGCUUUGAUCUAGUAGCUUGACUUAGGCAAGGCUUUAGGUUUAGGUGUGGUGCACACUUGGUAAACCUAGCACUAGGCGGCUCAGAGAUAGUCCUUAGAUCGAGAGGAACAAACUUUGUUUUGGAAAGAUCGUGUUUCGAUGAAGUUUGGGUGCCUAAGUGGGCACCGGACGUUGCACCGGACGCUCUGUGAGUGCAUCCGGUGAGGUCAUUUUGAGUGAGAGUGCCCGAGUCCCUAGGGUUAGGCACUGGACGCUAGAAUCGGACGCACCCGGUAGCGUCUGGUCCUAUACCCAGGGAGGUCAAAAGGUGACCAAGGUCACCGGAUGCUAGCACCGGACGCAGCGGGUAGCAUCGGGUCCUAAACUCAGGGAGGGUGUAAAGUUCACAAUCGCACCGGACGGUGUCACCGGACGCUGGGAAGUAGCGUCCGGUGUCACCGGACGCUCGGUGCAGAGCGUUCGGUGCAACAUCAACAGCGUCCGGUGACCCCGUUUUUAGUGUAAAAUGGUUGGCCGACCCUUAGACUUGAUAGGGUGUAUUUAUACUCCUCCACGUCGUCCGUGGGAGGUCUCUUGCCCAUUUGUUCAGUUGAGAAUCACCUUGUGGUGCAAGAGAGAAGCAAGAGCCUCGAGAGGAUUGAGAUUUGAGAGAUUUCUUAUGAGAAUCCUUCUCUAGUGGAAUUCCAAGAGUCAAGUGUGCUUCCACAACUCCCUAGUGCCUUGAUUGGGUCAAGUGAGAGUUCUUUGCUUGUUACUCUUGGUGAUCGCCAUCACCUAUACGGUUCGGUGGUGAUUGGAGGCACGAAGACUGCCCGGAGUUCUUGUGAGCUCGUGUCAAGCUUGUGAGCUGUUUUGGGUGAUUCACUGCGACGGAGUGUUGAAGAAUCAGCCCGUAGAGAGCACUUGGUCCUUGCACGGACCAAGGGGGAGCAAUACCCUUGCGCGGGUGCUCCAACGAGGACUAGUGGAGAGUGGCAACUCUCCGAUACAUCGGUAAAACAUCACCGAGCACUUUCUUGCCCUCUUCCUUUACUUUCUAGCAUUUACUUUGUGCAAUUACUUUGAGUUUUUACAUUCCUAGAAUUGCCUUGCUAUAAUAGGAUUGGAACUAGGUUGCAAAACUUUUUAUCCGGUAGCUCUCUAGUCACUUUAGGCACAAGGGGUGAAAUUGGAGCUUAUAGGUUGCUUAAAUUUUAGUGAAGCCCAAUUCACCCCCCUCUUGGGCAUCUUGAUCCUUUCAAGGAGAACUCGAUAAACCACAUUUCACGGCACGAUCAUAAAUGAGAGAACAAGCUUACAACAUUCUUAGUCAUUUCUUACAUCACUUGCUUAGUCAUUUCUUACAUCACUUGUAUUACAACAUGAGAGUAAUACAUGGAUGGAAAUAAUAAUUCAUUUAAUGACAUGUUAAGUAUUAACAUGGUGAACAUUUGCAUGCAUGAACUGAUGACAGAUUGUAAGUCUUUUCCUUUGUAAAAUAUUUUUGGUGAAGGUUGAUGAUAAGUAAAAUUCUAAACUCACAUCGCAAGGGAGAUCCUCCCUGAGCCCACUAGGAGAAAACCGCACACACAAGUAUUAGCUCACAACACCUACUACCUGCAACAUGGUUGAACAAACCCUGAGUACUCAAUUGUACUCCACAAGACUUAUCCAUCACGAGGAAAAUAAAAGACUCCAAAGAUUAUGCAAGGCUAUUUGGCUGGUGGGUUACUUGCAUAGCAGAAGAAUUACUAAGAGUGAAUCCUUAAAGUUCAUUUUAUUCACAGUCAUGAUUCAUUCGUUAAUAAACCAUUCUAUAUAAGCACCUAUGCUAUUCCAAGAAAGAGUUGAGCAAAUAGAACCAUUUUCCAAGUUUCAAUUCUUACUACGGUGCUAGACCAUAGCCAUGCCGUAUCGUCAUGACAACGGCGAUUCGUGAAUCAAUGUAUCCCAGCUGGGUACUCCGAAACACACGCCUCACCUGCACCCUAGGUGCAAACAAGAACAACCGAUUCCACUCCUGUCGAGGAAUCCAGGUCCCCGUCCAAACAUGGACCCUAAGCCCCCGCACAUAAGACUUGGCCUUACUACGGUGCUUAGAUCUUCACGUGUCCCCACCUCCAAUCAGUCGGUUUGGAAAGAGCCGGAACCCACGAUAAGAUAGUAAUGAGUCUUCCCGCUCCCAUAAGCAAGUAUGUGCUGAGUAUAAUAAGUCUGUGACCUGACUACCGUCUACAGCAAUGGAUGGUCCUCAAAUGACUCAGGCGAAACACGUGCAACCAGAGCCUCUCUCAAGUCCACAAACCAAAUCCAAAUAUCGUUCCGCCUGGUCUCCAAUUGUCAUCCAUAUAUAAUGUGGUAACAACAUUAAUACAAAUUUCCUAUCUCUCGCGAGUGACAAUAAUCACUCGUCUUCUACCAGAGAUCCUAUAGCAUAGCAAGCUACAUGAUCCUGUCAUACUAGUAAGACUCAUGGGAUAUAUAUAUAUAUAUAUAUAUAUAUAUAUAUAUAUAUAUAUAUAUAUAUAUAUAUAUCUGUGUGUGUGUGUGCAGGUGGGUUUCAUUCAACUCCUUGAAACUUAAUGCACAAGCAUAAAGUAAAGUGCAGAAUAAUAGGGGUUAUGAACCGGAGCUUGCCUCGAAAACUUAUAACUAAAGUUAGCAUCUCAUCACGGUAACACGAUCAUCAAGGCAGUUCUUUUGGUCACUCUAGAGGACCCCACGAUCAAACAUGCUCCUAUUAUGAUAUUCGUGGAGAUAAUCGCUGAGACGUAAAUACACAGCGGAAAUCACAACUUAAUACAACUUCGCCUCUCAUACUAACAAACUAGGUCACAGACUAACGUACUAGGCUGUGGAUCUAUGUUAUCAAACUAAACAAUAUUUCCCGAUGAAACCUAAAACGUUGUUUACUCUAUUUUAUUUAUUUUAAUAUAUAUCCAUAUAUGGAUUCAUUAACUAUCAUAACAAACUAAAUAUUUUGGGGUUCCAAAAAUUACAGAAAAUUUUAUCCAUUUUAUCAGGAACCUAUUGUAAAAUUUCUAGAAUUAUUGCUAGCUUGGAUUAAACAUGAAAAUUAAUACAAGUUCACAUUUUAUCCAUUUUAACCAAUUUAAGAAUAUAUGAAAAUCUUAUGAACUAUGCGAAAUAAUCAUACCAGUAGAUAGAUCAUGAUUUUAGGAAGCUAAAAAAAUUGGUUUCACUAUUUUUGGACAUCUACACAAAUUUAUAUUAAAUUUAAAAGUUUGCUGCAGAAAUGGAAUUAUAAAAGCAUUUUGCAACGAAAGAGGGCCGACUGCAGCGAAUUCGCCCUACACCCAAGGUCAACGCGGGCUUGCAUGGUGGACUGACCCAACAAAUGGCCCACACUGUGAAGUUUACGCCCAUGCUGACCUAUAAGCAAAAAAGCCCCUGCGCUAAAGGUUUAUUAUGCGACACCUCAGAGCACUAUUAUGCAAGACAUAUAAUUUGCAGAAAGCACCCCCAAUAAACUCAUCUUCUCAACGAGCUAGUCCUUGAGGACCUCACACGCAAUGUCACGUCUCUGGCCAGCCUGGCGCAACUGUGCCCAAGAGCUAAGUAGUACUCCAAGCCGACGAACAGGCCGAACAAAAUCUAUGGGUCGCACGACAGCAAUAGGGAGCCACAACAUGCCAAAAGAUGCCCCAGGAUGCUCUACAGUGAAGGACGACAGUUCACCGUCGUGCCACAGCCAUUCGGACGAUCCUACUCUCUCUCGGAGGUGAAGGGGUUGUGCAUGUGCAUUAAGGACUCACUAAGAGCCAUGCCAUGGUGAUGGUUGGAGCCAACAAGAGCCAUAGUGGCCUGGCCAUGUGCGAGCCGCAGGGGCCGCGAUGCUCCGAGGUGGCAUGGUUGCAUUACCCUAUCUCUGGCCAGUACCCAGGAAGAAAUAAUGCGAGCACUAGACAACGGGAAGCAAGAUUAGCUUAGAGGUACAAGGAAUUGAAUCCAUUCGACUCUAGCCCAACCUCGAUGGCACAACGACGCUCUUGGCCGGCAACAAGCAAAUCAUCAAAUUGACAUUUGCUAGAACUUGUUUACGACCGACAAAGGGCUGGGAAGCUAGCCACUUCCUCAGGCAACCCCAAGGUUCGAGGAAACGAGCAGAGAGGCUCUAAGCAAGGUGGAACGGAUAGGCAGGCAUCCAUGGUGGUUAGAGCAUGGUUGGCAGCCAUGGAGAGUGUACGCAAACAAGCCAAGCGAGUUAAAAAGGGCGGCUCUGCGCGAGUUAAGGUGGGGCUUUGAUCGAUCACAAUAGUGCCACACAUGCGCAACUAGGGUGGGGCAAGGGAAGGCUUGGCUUGAUGCAUUUGAAUCAAAAUGACUCGACCAUGGCGAGGCACGAACAGUGACAACAUGACCUAUCGAUGAAAUAUGGUCGGCAGUCUACCUAAGGGUAUGCCCAAGGUAGUAGAUUGUCGGCAGACAGGUGCACAAGCUAUGAACUUGAUGGUGACGCAAGACACAGACAAGGAUUUUAUCUAGGUUCGACCGCCAUGAGGGUGUAAUACCUAUGUCUGUGUCUGAUUGUAUUGAUGAUGAAUUGAGUUGAUGGGGGUCCCCGACCUAACCUUAUAUAGUCAGGGGGCAAGGAUACAAAUUUAGAAACUAAUCCUAGUCUGGUAUAAUUGCUAUAGAUAGUUGGAUAUCAAUUUAACUGACAAAGAUAUUACUUGAUCUCCAUGUCUGCCUUCAUGAAUCAUCUUGUAAUGGGCCAAUCCUUUCGCUCGAACCUAGCCAUAUGGGUAUAGGGGUUUAUAUCUUCACAGCUAGUCCCCAAGCUCCAUGUAUUGUGAUGCGACACGCCAUCUCAAGCUUCUUCGAUCAAUGAACUUGACAUCUCCAACCAGCAGGAAAAUCAUUCGAGUAAUUAGUUCAGAAGACAGUCGACCACCAUUGACACCGAAGAAGCAGGUUGUCCAAAUAAUGCAUGGUGCUCUUAAGAAAAAAGAUUUCUUUCUUGGUGAAUUGUGCCCACUUUACUUUUGUGAAAUCCAUGAGGUUUUAAAAAAGAAAGCAUAUUCACCGUAAGGUGAAGUGUGGCCACUUAGUCCCCGAGCGUGGUAGUAGGUGAUGUAGACACAUGGUGCUAGGGUCUAAAAAGAAAAUUCUGCAUAGAAAUUCUGAUAAUGAGAUGCAGCGCUAGGUGCAUCGUAUCGAUGUAGUCCCCGAGCUUGCUGGAAGGCAAAGUAUGAGCUUUGUAGCAAUGUCGAAAAAAUUAAAAUUGCUCCACAUUUGUAUAUGAGUCUAAUUUAUAUGUAACUGAGAAGAGCAGUCCCCAUGAUGUGGUCGGAGAGUGAUCAAAGCGAUCCCCAAGCAUAACAUAGGGAGUAACUGGUGAGUCCCCGAGCGUGGUUGGGAAUCUAAACAUGCUCGGUGGUCAGCAUAGUCCCCAAGCACAAAGUAGGGACUGAUCGACGAGUCCUCGAGCGUAAGCAUGCUCAGUGGUCAGAGCAGUCCCCGAGAAUAGCAUAAUGAAUGGGUGACAAGUCCUCAAACAUAGCUUGGAAAGUAAUGUGCUCGGUGGUCGGGCCAUCCCUGAACACAAGUCCCUCCUUUGUUUUGUAGCAUCAUAAUUCUUUAUCUUGUCAGCAUAUUAGUGACGUCACUUUAUUCCAACUUCAAGCAUUAGUUUGUCUGCUUUAACCUUGUCAGACUGCACAACCUGUUAGUAGCAUUAAAAAUCAAAUGUACUGUAAUGCAUAAAAAGGUAAGCCAACAAAGACGUAAUAGGUUGUCCCACACAAGAACCAAAACAAACUAGGCACACCAGAACCAAUGAAUGGGAGAAACCGCUUGUAGAUUUAUGAGGACAAUAUUGGGAACUAAAAUGGCACUCUCGGUGUUAAUGGUGCACGCCCCCUAGAUUUUUUAGGGAGUGGGGAAGGUGACACCUACAUAAUAAAUAGCCAAACAAAGAGCAACAACCAUUCUUCACCAAGGCAGCUGCCAUUCCACGUCUGCACAAGGUUGAAAACUAGGUAAUUGCAAGGAAUUACAGCAGAGCAACUAUUCAUCAUCUCCAUAUAAGAGUUGACUUUAGAGGUCCAUUUUAACAGAUUCAUUAAGAGCUCUCCUUAGGCAGAGCAGCUAUUAAUCAUCUCCAUAUAAGAGUUUAUUCUAGAGGUUCAUUUUAACAGAUUCAUUAAGAGGUCUCCUUAGCUUAGCAAGAUUAAUUAUGAAAUAUAAAAUAUUUAUUGGGUUUCUAAAAUUAUUCAUCUUUUUAUCUUGUCAUGACGCACUAGGAAUAAAUAAGUAAGUAAGAGAUACUUAGCUUGGUAUACGGGGGUUGCUCUCCCCCAAGCUGGAUGUUGACAUAAUCUGCUAAGAUUGCUGACAGGUAGUGAAACCGUACUAAUGCUCCUGGAGUGUCGUGGGCACUUGCUAUUAGAAACAACACUGGGCUGGUGCGGAUAGUACUCCGAUAGGGGACAGGACAUCCUUCUUCCUGUUAGUUUCCUUGAUCCUUUAAAGCUUGUGAAGCUCAAAUAGACAACAAAGCUCAUGGAACUGAUUAGUAAUAGUCCUCUAAGCUUUGGGAGUCUAGAACUUUCUUAUACUCAUUUAUCUUUUAAUAGGAUCAAUAUAUUUUUAUGUUUUUUAUAUUUAUAGUAUUGCAGAUAGGAAAAUAAAUAUGCUAAACUUUAUUUUUGUGCCAUCAUAGUAGAAAAGUAUGUGAGAUGUUGCAUCACAUAUUAAAUACAUGGGGCUUAGUAAUUUUCUAGAUGCAAUGCAAUAAUAUAUUUAUUUUGUUUUCUAAUGCAGAAAUAAAGUAAAGAUGCAACUACUAAUGCAUUUAAGGAAAGUAAAUAUGCUGAAGGAAAAUUGCAGAUAAAGACCAAGUUACCUCUUGGCGCGGCGUUCGGUGAAUUUAUGUCCUCCGAACAGGACCUUCUUGUUUGCUCAAUGAUGGACGGCCACGUCGGAUGGCGCCAUAGGUGUUGUGUUCUGUGAAUGAUUUGAAUUUGACUUUACCUUUGGUUUCCAUACCUUUUGUUUAGAUGAUGGUGACUUGGAGGAGAGAGUGUUUGGAAUCACUAUCUUUUCUUCAGCUGGUACCUCGUCUUUGACGGUGUUCUCCUUGUCAGGGUAUCGAUCUUCGAAUCUUGAAACCUCUCUUUUCUUCAUAGUCGGCCCAUCCAUCUACAACAUUCUUCUUCUUCUGGUGGCGGGUAUGUUGCCUUCUCCUUGACCUAUUUGUCUUGGGCUCCUCCUCAAUUAUAUAAUUGCUAUUGAAAUGAUGGUGUACCUUUUCUGAGGGAAAAUGGAAGUGGAUAUACCCUGUUCUAAUGUAGAUAAUGGCCAUGGUGGUGUUGAGGAAUGACCUUCCUAGGAUAAUGGGUAGAUCACACUCAUCUUUUCCAAUGUCGGUGACCACAAAGUCGGUGGGGACAUAGUGGUCAUCGAUCUGGACAUGGACGUCUUUGGCUAUCCCUUCCAUAAAGCAAAAGGACUGGUCCGCCAAUUGCAGCUACACAUAGGUGGGGUCCAUAGGCAUAGUAGCAUAUAGAAAUUCAUACGUUACCUUGGACAUUAUGUUGACACCUGAUCUAGUGUCAUAGAUAGUGUUGUAAAAGUAACAUCUAUUGAUGGAGCAUAUGAUACUCGGGACACCUAGGUCAUCUUUCUUGAUCAAGCUUGGGACUUGAGUAGGUAGUCAUACUCCAUGUGGAUUGCAGUGACUGUUGGCAUUUCUUAGCGUCACUACUAAAGAUAGACUAUAAAUCCAUCAUUAGCAAUGGCACCAGAAAUUUCUGGUGUUGGUAUACCAUAACUAUCGUUACGUCAAAGAGAUAACCCAAGGCCUUUAACGGCGCCGGCCUUAGCAGUGCAGUCUGGUAACAAUAAUUAGGAAUGCCAGAUUGGCCAUCCUAACCAUCCUUACUUACGAUAUGCAAAGCUCUAGCACGGCACCAGAUAAAUGUACAGAGUUUACAAUCUUAAGUAACGGUACUUAGGUACGCCAAUCAAUAGUUCAUGAAUAUAAAGAAUAAAACUACAAGCGAACAGAACUAUCAUUGUAGCAUUUCAACCCGUGAGUAUUCAAGGGUUAUCAUAUUUAAUCCCGUAGGAGGGCAUAACAAAUGCAUCUAGCUUGGUUUGUAGCAUGAUCACUUAUUGAGAUGCAUAGGUAGACAUAGUCUAAUCAGGGGUCAUCACAGGCUUUUUAAAAUAUGGAUAGAGGCACACUCAUCGGGGCAACCUCAAGGAAUAAAGAGAAAAUAAGGAAAUAAAAGAAAUAAAGAACAACUACUUGAGCUGGCAUUGAUCUUAUAUAACUAUGCAAAGAAUUGUUAGUAGAACAUCUAAUCAAUAUAACUAGAGUUGGAACUAAGUCUGAGGCUCUGGGGAGAUCCCCGCAGCUGGACAUCCAGCGGAUAGGGACUUUACAGAACUCCUACCGGAAUACCUGAUCAUGGGGGAAUACCACGGAUGACAGGGCUGUCACUACCCUGCCACCUACCUCUCUACCCAAAAGAUACCCGUGCAUCCGAUGAUCUCCGCAUACCCGAGCACCUCGCCCGUGUAAUUGGAAACGCCUCCUAACCUCCCGGGACCCCAACCCUUCGGAUUGACAGGCUCGACUAAGAGUGGCCAUCACAGCCCAAUGAACCGUUACCCCAAUCUUAAUCCUUUGUCUAUUCAUACUAAUUCGAUGAAUGAUAAAGAACAAGGAUGAACACAUCAAGAACAUAGCACAAGAACUAAGAACUAGUUCAUAUACUAUGAACAAGAUAUGAACACAACUAUACUCUAAUUCCAUUGCAUAAUCAUAUAAAUAAGAUAAGAACUUGCUCAUGGAUGCAAACUAAAUUGUAUUCAUACCAAGAAGCUCUAAGAUCCUCCAAGGAGACAAGCUCUCCUUGCUAGCUUUGCCUUGCUCUAUUACUGAAUCUAAACUAAAGAACAAGUGUAGAAAUGUGAGGUGUAUUGCUCCAAAUGAUGGUGUGUGUGUUGAAUGGUGUGAAGCCAUCUAUUUAUAGCCCAACAAGGAUGGUUCAUGGUGAUCUAAAUUUGGUAGGAGGUGAAACCAUCCUAUGCAUGUCGUCAUGCAACCGCCUAAAAAAGGUGGGACUGAGUUGCCACCACGGGGUGGGCGCCCACACCAGGGUGUGGCCGCACCAAUGGUGAGCCCCCCUGGCCACCGCCUUCGCGUGGUCGGUUCGUUUCUAGGCCGUGAUCCUUCCCAUGGUUACGGAUGGAUCCAGUUCAGUGUUUUGGUGGGCUUUUCCAUUUAUCUUUGAUUUGCGCCUUUUCUGAAUACACUUUCUUGAAGUGCGCUUUCUCGUGUCUUUUGCGCCUUUCCACGUGUCAUACCUGAAAUUGAUAUUUGCAACAAAACUUGUGGAAAGGUUAGUUCAAAGCCCUACAAUCUAUUUAUUUUAUUUAUUAAAAUGAUGUUUAUAAUUAUAAGAUAAGGGGUACAAACAACUCCCCCACACUUGGUCCUUUGCUCAUCCUCGAGUGAAGGCACUAAAUACCAAAUGGGAUCAUCUUCCUUGUCAAAAGAUUCUGCAUACAGGUUAUUCCAAGCUUCACCUGGACUUAUGAACUUCAAAGUGUCUACCAAGCUAUCUUGGGUAGUUGAAACUUGGAACACCAUGGAUUGAAAUCCUCUUACAUAGUCCCUGCGUAGAAACUUGGGGUUUUGCAAGAUUUUGAAAAAUAAAGAUAGCAUAUGUUUCUUGAAUGAUGCUCUCAAGUCCCUCCUAAUAUGUGAGUGGUUCCUUACCAAGGCAUAAAGAGUUGAUUCCUUCUUUUUUAUCAUCCUACUUCUAAAAGGCUUAUCUAGAGUUUUGGGUAGGUAUGAUGGUGGAACUUACUUACCCUGCAUAUGUUGUCGAGUCAAACCCAGGACCAUACCGGAGGGAGUGCGCCAUACCCUUAGAUUAGAAUGUGCAAGUGUGUGUAAUUUUUGGUGGAAUCCUAUCACUACUUUUAUUGCAACAUUCCUUGCAUCAAGACUCUCUUUUGAAAUGAGACAAAAAACUUGAGAGGAUAUGGGCUAUAAUACAAAUUUUUUUGGAGGAGUAUGAAUCUUUCCCUGUUUUUCCUCCUUUGGCUUUUUCUCAUAAUAAUUUUUUAUAUAUAGCCCAUUCCUAUGAUUCUGAUGAAAACGAAAGAGAGCUUUAUGAUAACAAAUGCAAGGAAUAUAUAUAAAUGCACAAAUCUUAGGGUGAGAUAUUGACAUUUCUAUUUGGUGGAUAUAUGUGUGCAACCCUCAGUGUAAGAGUUGGCGAAAUUUUGGGUGGAUGGAGAAAGCAUGUUGUGCACGACUUCUGAGUGUGAGAGUCGGCUUCUAUUUGGUGGGUGCAAGUGAAUUCUGAUCUUAGAGGCAUGAAACAUCUCUUGAGAGUGGUCCAAAAAUUUGAUCAAACUCAACACAGAGCAAGCAGCAUAUGUAGAAGAUUUAAUCAUGAACAAAUAUUUGGCCAUGGUAGGAAUAAAGCUUGAUCAGUCAAGAAACUUUCUAUUGAAUUUUGCUUUUUAUAAAAGAAAACCUAAGUACUUUGCAAGAAUCAGCAAGCAUCAUGUCAUCCCACUAUAUCACAUACGUCAAUUACUUAGAUAAAAUGGGGUCCCUAUAACAAGUGUUCAUAAAUCUCUAGGGAUAUUAGCUAAGAAUAAAAAGUAUGCCAAAACAUAUUUGAACAUAGGAAACAUGUUCGAUGGAGUAUGAAGGUAACAUCAUUUUAAACAUUUCAUUUGAAAAUCUUUUUGGGGGAAGAGGAUUUGCACAAACUGAGAUUUUUGAUUGAAUAGUCCUUCCCCCACACUUGUUUCCUUUCCUGUCAUGGUUAGUCACAAUAUAUAUAGAAAACAAGUGCACAAGAUAAACAAACUUUUUUUAUUGAUAACUUUGAAUAGGCACAUUACAUUGGAAGGGAUAAAAUAUUUGAAACAUAAAUAUUGUGAAAAGGAAAAAUGUGCCUAAACAAAGAUUCAUGCAGGAGGUGUGGUCUAAAGAUCUUCAACAAGGCGACCAACACCUAAGGCUUCAACGACCUUUCUAAGUUUAGUAUUAAACUUGAAGCAAAACUUAUUAACAUCAUCACUGAGGUUCCUAAUCUCAGUGUUCUUUUCCUCUAGGUCGUCUUCUAAAACCUGUAACUCAGCACGUAGGCUAGCCUGCUUAGCUAAAAGCUCGGCUAUGAUAUUGAGAUCAUCUUCUUCAUCCCUGCUCUCGUAUUGUCCUGCAUGAUGCUUGAUUGACGGCUGUGGCAAGUGCUUCCUGAUCCUAGGGAGAGUACUGGAUGAUUCCGUCUUCUUGGCCUUGCCACCCAUCUUGCUACCAGCAUGAUUGCCUUGCCUAUCACCACUAGGGGCUUUUCACUUAAGUCCUAUGUUGCUAGUGGCCGAACGAGCAGUAACGGGUAUGUCGGCAGCGCUAUUGGUGGUCGCUUUGUGGUUUGCUGGUAACAACGCUAAUAGCUUUCUCUUUCAACAUGGACCUCCUUGCUAGAACUCUCUUGGUAAGGUGCUAUGUCUAGAUUGGCUAUGGUCUUGGGAGCAAUUAUCAGCGAGAGGGCACAGCUAGACAUGGUCACUACUGAAGAAUGGGAGAGCUUAGCAAUCUUCACAAGAGGGAGAUGAGAAAUGGUUGGUGUGAGAAGAGAAGAGGCCUAUGGAGGAUUUUAUAGGUGCUAACACAGUCUCUGAUCUGGAAACAACUUGAUCGUAACCAUGGACGUGAUGCUAAUCAGUGCAGAAGAGGAAGGGAAAAAGAUUGGGGCCGAUUGGCGGACCUGGGGUUGCACCCGCACCAUGGUGCGGCCGCACCACUGGGUCCACCAGUCGGCCUCAGUCUUUUGGGUAUUUCUUUCCCUCUCUGAGUAUUUCGUGAUCCUGGUUACGAUCAAUCAUGAUGCGCAGCAGAAUCAGAGUGAUAUUGUGUGGAAUAGAGUUUUGAAUUUUGAAAACUUUCUAAAAGCUAUCACACUAUCAUGCAUUUAUGAGUGAUUGAUACCCAUGAUCACAAAGAUUCAAAAGUGAAGAAAAGAUCAUAGAGGCAAUAUGGACUACUCAUUAAUACAAAAAAUGCACCAUUUAUUCAAAACAUAAAUAGAAAGAAUUUAUUCAAAAUAAAUAAAUAAUUCAGAAGAAAAUAUAUAUUUAUAUUUUUUAUAAGUGAAAACUUACCUAGGGAUAACUUACCGAUUUACCUUCAGCAAUGUCUCAUCUUUAUAGUUCAUUGAGCGGGACUCUUCUCCCAUUACUUCUUGCUUGAUGAUGGCACAUCCGUCUUGGGAGGAGUAGAUGGUUGCACCUGCUUGGGCCUCCACUUUAGUAGUAUCACCUUUGGAGGUGUGGAUGUUUGUUAAACCUUUUGCUUUGGUUUCCACUCCUGCUUCGGUUGUGAAGGCUUGGGGACUUCGUCCCUCUUUUCAUUCUUUUUAGGAGCUAUUUUCUUUUUUCUGCUCCUUAUUAUUUUUCUUAGGAGCCGCCUUUUCUUUUGGCUCUGGCUUUUUCUUAGAUAUUUUUGUAUUUUUUUAAUAAGUUGAGGCUGGAUCUCAACUUCCCUGAUGCCUUGGGGGUUUGGCCCAUAGAGGAUGCGUAUCAUGUUGCACUCUUGUUGAUGGCGUGGCCUGAACUCGAACUUCUCUUCUUGGCCAUUAAUGUUGAAGCGGAUUUCUCCAGCCCCAACAUCAAUCUGUGCUCCAGCUGUACUCAAGAAUGGUCUUCCUAGGAUUAGUGGUGUUUCUUUAGUGAGCUCCAUGUUGAGCACCACAAAAUCCACUAGAACAUAGUAUCCUCUGAUCUUGACAGGGAUGUCUUGAGCAAUCCCUGCCGGGUACCACACUGACGAGUCUGCCAACUGGAGUGUCAUGGUGGUUGGCUCCAAGUUGGUGAAGUUCAGCUUGUCAAAGACUGAUUUCGGCAUGACGCUCACACUCGCCCCCAAAUCACAUAGGCGUGGUCGAAUUGCUGGGCCCUAAUUGAGCAACAGAUUGUGGGGCACCCAGGACCCUGCUUCUUCUCGGACAGCUCAUUGAGUAUAGCUACGCUACAUUCUUCUGUUAGCUUGACAACUUUAGUGGACAGCAAUGGUUGCUUCUAGUUGACGAUGUCCUUGAUGAACUAGGAGUAGGAUGGAAUAUGCAAGACAUCCAUCAACGAUACACUGACGUGCGUCUUUUUGACCAUUUCCAUGAAGCGGAGGAACUGUUCAUUUCCGUCCUUCUUCUUCCUCCUUUCUCUUGUGGGAAAGGGUAGCAUCGUGGUGUCCCCAUAGUUGUUUGGGGUCGGCUCGUCUUCCAUGGAUUCUUCUGAUGGUUGAGCCGGCCCUUCUGCAUGUGUUUCCUCCUAUUGUCGUGGCGCCCUUACUAUCUUAUGGUUAGGAUAAGGGGGUUCACGAGUGGUCUUACCCCCUCUCGUGGUCAGCGCAUUUACAUUUUCCAUAGAAUCAGGAUAAACAAUAGCUUUAGCGGCAGAAGCAAGCUGAGCUACUUUUAACUUGAUUUUCUUAUUAAAAGCCAGCUAAUCUCUAACAGAAAGGGCCAGGCCAUCAAGCUUUGUAUUUAUGUUCACAAACAUUUGAUCAUUUUUAGAAAGCUUUUUAACAAGAUUUUCAUUGAUUUUGGCCUGACCUAGCACAAGAUCUUUCAGCGAAGGCUGGGAGGAAUUAAAACUGGAGUAAUUACCUUGGGGGCGGUUCUGGUUGUUCCACCCAUUACCUUGCUGUUGUUGGCGGAACUCGUUGUUGAUGAAUGAUGCGUCCUCCAGGGUUCGAGGGCAAUUAAUCCCCAUGUGGCCAACAUUCCCACAUUCCUCACACGUCAUGCGUGAGUCGAUGGCUUGGACAGUGCCGAUGGCCUGUCCAUCUAAUCUCUUCAUUAGUAGGUCUAUUUUUGCGGCAAGCAGAUCCGUCUCCUUCAUGAUAUGUAUGCAUUUUUGUGUUUUGCAUCCCUCUCCCCAACUCUGGUUGGCUACCAUCUUCUUAAUUAAUGCCGUAGCAUUCUCAUUAGUCAGGGAGAGGAACGUGCCUCCAACAGCGGCAUCGACGUGCCCCUUAGACAUGGGCGUGAGCCCCUCGUAGAAAUUCUGAAGCACGAGCCAAUCUUCCAUCACAUGGUGGGGGCAGGCCCGGAUGUGUUCCUGGAACCUUUCCCAAGCCUCCGGAAUGGAUUCGAGUGAAGUCUGCUGGAAGUUUGAUAUCUUUCCCCUCAAAGCAUUUGUUUUGCUCAUGGGGAAAAAAUUCGCGAGGAACGCCACAGAACAUUUGUCCCACUUGUUGACAGCUUCCUUGCUCUGGUAGAACCAUUGCUUCACCUUCCCCGAGAGGGAGAAGGGAAACAAGCGGAGCUUGACGCUUUCAGGUGCAACAUCCUUGAUGAUGAUGGUUUUGCACAGCUCAAGGAAGUUCUGUAGAUGCGCGUUUGCGUCCUCACUUGGCAAACCACAGAACUGGUUUGCCUGCACCAUCGUGAGUAGGCCAGUGCAAAGCUUGAAGUUUCCAUUCCCAGUGUUGACUGCGGGCCCAACAGGCACGUUGGCAACAGCGGGGGUGGAAUAGUCGCGAGUGACCUGGCCAUGGUGGUUGAAACAGAUGGUGCGGGGGUGAUUGGUUUGACUGUAGGUGGCGUGGCAGAGGAAGAAACGGCACGAGUCCUUUUCUUCCUUAGGAGUGCCUCCAGAUUGCUGUUGAUGUUUGCCGGCAAGUUGAAACCGCUCAUACACUAUCCUGUUUUCAUUCCACUAAAAAGAGGAAGAAAAUAGCAAAGACUAGCCUGAUUAAACUAUGGCUACCAAUGCUUAUUUUGUAAUCAAUGCUAAAUGCCAAAGCUAGAUGUUUGCAUUGUUCUUUGCCCUCCUCGACAACGGCGCCAGAAAUGCUUGUUGGCAUUUCUUAGCGUCACUACUAAAGAUAGACUAUAAAUCCAUCAUUAGCAAUGGCACGAGAAAUGUCGGGUGUUGGUAUACCAUAACUAUCGUUACGUCAGAGAGAUAAGACAAGGCCUUUAAUAGCGCUGGCCUUAGUAGUGCAAUCUGGAAACAAUAAUUAGGAAUGCCGGAUUGGCCAUCCUAACCAUCCUUACUUACGAUAUGCAAAGCUAUAGCACGGCGCUAGAUAAAUGCACAGAGUUUACAAUCUUAAGUAACUGUACUUAGGUGCGCCAAUCAAUAGUUCAUGUAUAUAAAGAAUGAAACUGCAAGCGAACAGAACUAUCAUUGUAGCAUUUCAACCAGUGAGUAUUCAAGGGUUAUCAUAUUUAAUCCCGUAGGAGGGCGUAACAAAUGCAUCUAGCUUGGUUUGUAGCAUGAUCACUUAUUGAGAUGCAUAGGUAGACAUAGUCUAAUCAGGGGUCACGGCAGGCUCUUUAAAAUAUGGAUAGUGGACACACUCAUCAGGGCAACCUCAAGGAAUAAAGUGAAAAUAAGGAAAUAAAAGAAAUAAGGAACAACUACUUGAACCGGCAUUGAUCUUAUAUAACUAUGCAAAGAAUUGUUAGUAGAACAUCUAAUCAAUAUAACUAGAGUUGGAACUAUGUCUGAGGCUUUGGGGAGAUCCCCGCAGGUGGACAUCCAGCCGAUAGGGACUUUACAGAACUCCUACCGGAAUACCUCAUCGUGGGGGAAUACCAGGGAUGAUAGGGCUGUCACUACCCUACCACCUACCCCUCUACCCAAAAGAUACCCACGCAUCUGCUGAUCUCCGCAUACCCGAGCACCUCGCCUGUGUAUUGGAAAUGCCUCCUAACCUCUCGGGACCCCAACCCUUCGGAUUGACAGGCUUGGCUAAGAGUGGCCAUCACAGCCCAACGAACCGUUACCCUAAUCUUAAUCCUUUGUCUAUUCAUACUAAUUCGAUGAACGAUAAAGAACAAGGAUGAACACAUCAAGAACAUAGCGAAAGAACUAAGAACUAGUUCAUAUACUAUAAACAAGAUAUGAACACAACUAUACUCUAAUUCAAUUGCAUAAUCAUAUAAAUAAGAUAAGAACUUGCUCGUGGAGGACAACUAAAUUGUAUUCAUACCAAGAAGCCUUGUUCUAGGUGUUACUCUUGUUCCUACCGCUGACAAUUUCCUUCUGAGCAAGGAAUGAUAAUGUCCUAUUAUUGAAAGAAAAGGCUCCCCUAUUGCCCUUAAUGUUGAAAGUAAUCUUAGCAUUACUGGUGUAGAUAAUAGCUUCGGUAGUGUUCAAGAAUGGUCGUCCUAAAAAGAUAGGCGACCUCUCAUUAGUACUAGUGUUCACUACUAUAAAGUCUAUGGUAUAUAUGAGUUGCCUACUCGCACACAUAUCUCUUCUAAGAUUCCCAUGGGGUAGCAGAGUCACUGAUUUGCAAGCUGCAAAUACAUGGUUGUGUAUGAUAAAGGAUAAUUUAAAAGUUUUUCAUAUAUCACCUUAGGCAUGUUGCUGAUGCUUGCACUGAAGUCACAUAUUGCCUCGUCGAAGUUUGUACUUUGAAUGGAGAUUAGAAUAGCUGAUCUCCCUAGAACACCCUUCUUGGUUGGUAGAGACGAGUCAGUCCAUGCUCCUUUCAGAGGGUCACUCCAAUAGCUUCCUGCAUUAAAGAUGUCUAUGAGAUUUGUAGUUUUAAAUUCUCCUUGUUAUCCAGGAAUCUUACCUUGUGUUGAUGCAAAAGUGAAUCUACAAACACAAAGGGCUUAUACCCGAUUCAACGUUAAGGCGUGCCAGCCGAUUUGACCUUACAAUCAACAAAGGUGGUAACUCGAAUACUUUGGUCCCGACAACAGCGAUGCGCCCGGAUGCCAUGGCCGAGAGGUAUUCACACGGAACUCGAGAAUUCAUCGAGUAUGACUCAAUGAAUUCUUAAGAACUCGUAAGUAAAAGAAAAUAUGCGAGUUGACGAAGUCAUUGAAAAAGUAGAUGCGAAAGUAAAUGUAAAACUUGUGUGUAGUAUUGAUUGAUUGCUUUCUUACAUCACUACUAGGCCUAUAUUUAUACUCUAUCCUGAAGAGUUACAAACAGAUAUGACUAGGAUUUUAGUUCCAAACCAAACAAAACUCGUACAUAAAAUCAACUUUAACAAUUAUGGAAAGUAAUAAUCUAUCAAUUCUUGGUGAUCGGCACACCACCAUUGUCCCCCCCCCGACGACCCCCAUGUCUUCCUUCAUCAUCAUCGGCAUACUAUCCUUCAUCGGCAUCUUCAAUCAUCAAAAUCAGCCAUUGGCACCGAUCAGCAACCGUCUUCGGACUUAGCCAUAUCUUCCUCCUGCUGCCUUGUGAUCAGUAUCAUAGGCUAUCGGCAACCUCCUUAUCGGCCAGACACAUUACUUCUCUAACUGCCGAUACAAACUUCAUUGACUAUCCCAAUUCGUGUCCAAAAACGGUUUCAACACAUACCCCCCAAUUUCGGAGUAUAAAAUCAUUAAUGCUCCAAAAUUCUGUCGUAAUAAUGAUGACCUUUUCACCAUUAUUUCAUUCUGACAGCAAUUAGUUACUAAAUCCAAACAACCUUAAUUUGGAUCUCCAGCAAAUACCUCGAAUCUCUCAACUACUCGAACCAAAUCUCAUGGAAAUACGCUCAUCGGCAACUAUUUGUUAGGUUGGACUGCCGAUGUGCCGACCAAAAGAUCGUGUACAGUGAAAUAUCUCCUAAAAUCAUGAUUACUUGCUGUCAAAUCACCUGUACAAUCCCUUGAUUAUCAUGCGAACAGUUACCAUAUCCUCCUGAACACCUCGAAUUUCACGGAUAUGACAAUGAGAUAAGUCAAAAAUACCCCUACUCACUUCAAGCUAUAAAUGCUUCCUUCCUCAGCACUCUUUCCCCACCUUGCCAUUCUCCAUUCCUAGAUUCAUGUUCUGGCGGCGGCAUUGAUGAAGAACUCAAGAGCUCAGGCAACAAAGAACCUCCCCUAGAACCUCCAAGUCUUCGACUCCUUCUUCGGGAAGAAAUGGCCGUCAACUUCACCGUUGCUGAGGUUAAUUCGUUCCCAUUCCUUUACUGUAAUUAUUUACCUUUUGCAAGUCUACUUACUUAGCAUUUUCCUUUCCUUUUCCUUUUGUUCUUCCAAUCUUCAAAUUUUAGGAGUUGAGCGAGAAAAUUUUCAUUCCUACUGAACAACCCCACCUUCAAUGCCUCGGUCCAAUGGGUGAUCCAGAUCCCACCGAUCUGAUCAAUGCAGAAACCAAUAGGAUUCCUUUUAUAGCCGAUCUAUGGAAGGACACUUUCCGAUCCUGGCCGAACCCCACCAAAGGAUGGAAAUAUUAGUUUUUGAGGGUUAGCAAAACUAAUGAAGUAUAUUUGGGUGAACGCAAAAUAGACUAGUGAAUCAGGCUUUCCAUUGCCGAUAUGGAAAGAAAUGAGUCAAUGCUGAUAGCUGCCUCAUACUUCUGGUCAGAUACUUUUAAUGCUUUUAUUUUUAGCCACAGCCCAGCUUCCCCUACGCUUGUUGAUGUUGUCAUGCUCACUGGUUUGGACGUUGCAACUGCUGAUGAUGGCGAGUUAUUCAGCCGCAAGGCCGAACAUAAAGUAGAAAUCCGCAACAUCGGUGGCUGGUCAGGGUAUAUUCAGAAAUAUCAAUGAACGGGAUCGGUUGGUCAGAGAGAACAUGCCACUUCUCUAAAUAUGUGGUUAGACAAAUUCAUCUUCUGCGGCCGAUCGGUAGGACCAACCUCUGUUUACUUAUCGGCAGCAGAAAGGUUAGCCGAUGGUAACCGAUUCCCCCUUGGCCGAUACUGCUGGGCUCUGUCUAUCAUCUCCUCCAUCAAGUAUCCGAGAAACUCCUAUUAGGUGAACCCAUCGGCAAUCUAGGAGGCCCUUGGUGGUUUAUCAACAUGUGGCUCAAUGUCCACAUGCACAAACGCCUUCGGUUUGACUUCUUCGCACAGCAGUUCCCACAAGACAUCACCGAGGAUUAUGAACUAGCAGAUGAUGAAUCGGCAACACACUCACCCCUCAACUAUGGUGAAGCUGUUAUAGUCCUUCCUGGUACUGGCUCCAAUGAGAACCAGAUCGGCUGAUUCUUCCAGACUUUGUAUGAUGGCCUCUCCAAAGAUCAGCGAGCAUGGAUGCCCUAUGAAGACCCAGAGACCAGAUUUCUGCUCACUUUCCACCCCUUUGAUAAUGCUCUUAAUAAAGACAAUGAUCUGAUGAUGGCAAUUAUCACCCCAAGGGCAAUCCCAGUAAACAGCUUUGGCAGCGGGAAGAACAUUAACACCACCUACGAGUUCUACAACCCAUUGGCACUAGCUCGCCAACUGGCUUUUGGUCAGCUACCGAUCAGACUCUGUUAUGCCGAUGUUGUAAAACCGAGUGAGAGCAACUAUUUUGCUGAUGCCAUACUCCUCUUUGUCAAAACCCUGCCUUUGACAAAUAGAGCCUUAAGAUGCUAUCUUUCAUCAUCAGAAGGCUUCUCAUAAAUAGCUGUCAUUGGAUCUAGUGCCAACUGGGCUAUCUGGCUAGGGAGACUUGUCUCUUCAACAUCACUAAGGGGUGCAAGAAAUUCCAUUGGCAACAUAAAGACCAUGUUAACAUCUGCCGAUGGUCCCCCUCUUUUGGGAUCCGAUUGCUACCGAUUCUCAGACCUAGAAGAACUUUCUUCCCUAUUCAACUCUUCCUGACGGUCUCGCUGCAUCCUCCUUUUCUGCGUCCUUGUUAACCCUUGCGGGCACCAUUGGGAAGCUUUGUUCUCCAUGCUGGUUGAUAGUGAACUUCCCUUGAUUCCACCCGACGAGUGUUAGCAUCUCUGCAAAAUAUAAAUUCAUCGGGAACCCGUGCAUUUGCCAUCCCUUCAAGCUCCUCUUGGUUCCUUGGAAAAUGACCAACAUGUUCGACAAGCUUGUCAUGCACACUAAGCCUGCCCCCCAACCGAUCAUGAACUGACAUCCUCCCCCUGAUCGUCCCAUUAAAGCGUCGAUCAUCGUUUUGGAAUCGUCGAUCUGACCGAUCAUACUGAUUAUAACCAUUGCACUCAGGGCAGUCUCUGAUAGUCGGUAGCUUGAUAUUUUGCUCCCAAUAGUGAAUGAAGAACAAGCAAUUCUAGUGAUCUUUAUGCCAAUUUCACUCUUGUCGGCGCCUUUCUUCUUCGCGGUGUCGAUCCUCCUGCUGUCAGCGAUAUCGAUCUUCAUGUUGUUGCCAAGUCUCCUGAUGCCGCCUAUGAAUAAUCACAAUGCCAUAGCGGGGGGUGUCUAGAGCUACUGCCCUCCCUUAUCAAGCCCUUGCCCUUGGCGUCAUUGGUAGUUACCUGAUGCUGGGGAUCCACCAAUGCGUUUCUCUCAGCUGCUUCUCAUGUCAAUAUUGACGGUCCUUAAGUACCAAAUAUAAUCAUCAAAUAAAUAAAGAAAAGGAUCCAAAUGCAACCAACACCCAGACUUAGGGUUUUAUCUAACAGAAUUCCACAAGUUUUGGUGUUUGUCUAUUUUUGCAGGGGGUUAUCACGAAAUAUGGAGAAAAGGCCCACAUGUCGGGUUUACAUAGAGAUAUUAACAUGCCGCGCAAUUUUCUAUCAUCUGGAAGACUCCAGAAGCCAUAGGAACGAACGGGAGGCCGAGCGGGCCCGGGGACAGGGUGCCCACCCUCACCCCUUGGGUGCCCGCCUAGGUGUCUCGGCCAAUCAGGCCCCGCCAUGCGGAUUAUGCUACACUGACCUAAAGGAUUAACGAAAACCGUGCGAUUAAGGUCAGUUUGAUCCGACGGCCCAUGUUCAUUUCGAGGGGCUAUAUAAGCAGGCCCCCUGGCCCUUGGAGGAGAGCAAUCCCAUUAUUCAUUAGCAUAUUUUCCAGAGAGGAUUCAAAGAGAGAGGUCCCUCUAGGGUUCCAACCUCAUAGGGCUUAGAAUCCAAUGUGAGAUUAGAAUUAGUUCUUCUAGAUUGAGAGAGAUAGAGUGGAGGUGUAGAUCGGAGGAAGCCCAGCCUAUCGGUGUCUACUCCGAGGUUGUACCUACGGGAUCAAGUCUCCUAACCUGAGGCUUGCUCCUUUAAUCUCUUCUAGUAGAGUUUAGAGUAAUCAUUGCUAGCGUAAACGUGGUGUUUAGGCUAGGGUACUCAUAGAUAUCCCCUGUCUAGCCGGACCGGGGUAGUAGCAAGGAACGUGACAUUUCUGUAGCUACCUUUGUAGCCCACAAUCCCGUUAGCAGGUUCGGUAGGGUUUAUAGGUGCGGGUCGAACAUCCUUUGUGGUGACUAGAUUCCGUAAGCCUCCCCAAUAGAACAGUAGAUCAUCCUUACCAAGGUUAGAAUGAGAGUGCGGAUGUAGUCUUCUCUAUACAUCGCUCACAUCGAAUCACAUUGUUUGUAGCCUAAAGGGUAGUAGCAAUAGAUUUGGUUAGUCAGACGCACGCUUUUCUCCCAGUGGUAAAAAUAUAAAUACGAUACUCUGGAUAACCUCCCGGUUGAUGUGCUCACCGAUAUCCGUGCGCUUGCGGAUCAUUUCCUGAUGGCGUUAACAAAUAUGAACAAGCAUUUCUGGCGCCGUUGCUGGGGAGGAAGACGGUUUGCUGAGAUAACUUUGAGUCUUGCUAUUAUCUUGUAUUAUACUUUUAUACUUUUAUUAUUUUAUCUUUUUAUUUUUUCCAUCUUUAUGGAUAACUCAAAUUCCACACCUAUUAUUGAAUUUUUUGCACCUUCGGAGACCAGCCAUAGACCAUGGGAGUCAACAAGUCCUUUCUUUGCCCCUAAUUAUGAUCUGUGUCCGAAGUUGAUUGCAAUAGGUCAAAACCAACCCUUUUCUAUAGCCGAGGUCCUAUCUUUUAAUCAAGAAGAUAAUGAACUUUUAGCUACACCUAGGAAAUUUUUAAUCUUUGUAUAAAUUAUGGUUUAGACCUAGCCCUAGAAGACCAUGUUUUUCCUCGAUAUUUUCACAUUGGUCUUAAUCAUAUAACCUUUGGUAGAGUUUUUCUUUCUUUGUCUGUUAGUAAAGCAAGGUAUGUCUUCAUUCGUGGACAUCCUUCUUGCACUAGUCUUCAUAAAAAAAUACUAGAGAUAGAGAAGGAAUUAUCUCCUAGACAAGAAAAGGAAGUUUCAAUAGCCAAUUUCGAAACAUUUCAAUCCCAUGAUUCGGCUAUCCAACCCAAACUAGGAGUGCUCCAAAAUCAUCUAAGGGAAGAAGAAAUUCUACCUUUGGAAAUUCAUUUUGGGAUGAGCUUAAACUUCCUGCUUCACAAGAGACCUUUGAGUGCAUAUAGUCUGAACCUUCCUAAGAAGGGAUCUCUUAGAAAGCAUCUCAAAUCCAAUCCUUUUGAUGGACAUCUAGAAAGACUCAAGGAUGGCAUCUUAAGUGAUGCAAUAGAAGGAGAGUGAAGCCAUUUAGAAGACAAUCUCAUCUUCUCCCGUUCUACGCCCACUUUUGAUGACUCAUUCGAACCUAUCUUUAAACCCAUCCUUGAGCCUAAUAAUUUCUACUAUGCUCUUUCUCUUGAACCUCCCGAUGAUCCUAUGAAUCUCUCUAGACAUCCCAUGCAUAAGAGUCACCAAGACCACAAGGAGGAUCGAGAAGAGCAACAUCAAUGGCUAGAGGGCAUUAAAGAUCCAUGUGCUAUCACCAUUGAAUGGACGGAUAAAACAAACUUGAGAGACAAUCCUAGAUGGAUUUUAUGCAUUCAUGAAGAAUCAUCCUUGGAGUUUGAGAAUGAGAGAAACAACAGUGAGCAUGGGAGUUAUUUCAUAAAUACCUCACCAAGUCCUUGCUCAUAUAAAACAUCUCCCCAGUCAAUUGGUCUCUCCAACCUUACCACAUUUGAGAUCUCCAACCUCCUCCUCCUUUCUAUUUAUAAAAACUUUAAAGGGGUGGUUAUCGAUGCAUAUGUCUAUAAUAAAUAUUACAGAUAUCGUUGAGUCGAUCUUGAUAUAGGCACGCUUAGGUUGGUGUUGGAGAGGAAACCACUUCACCAACAUAAUUUGAUGGUUUCCCAAGGACAAGCUUAGUGUCCUAAAUCAAGCACUUAUCAGAUCAUAACAUGAACUUUUAAUUAUUUGCAACAUUGCCUUGUGUAUUGAGCAUAUAAAAAUAAUUGUAGAAAUAUUCCUUUGGGUAUUCGUGUCUCUAACCUUUCUAGGAUUGGAGCAAGAAGAUCCGAGGAAUGACAAGCGCAAGGUAUGGCCAACCAAUCAUCAUGCAACAUUGAAUUAAAUUCAUCCAAUCUUGAAUAUUGCAAAAUUCAAGCUUGGGGGAAAUACCUUACAUAAGAACAUCCUUUACCAUGUUGCUAUGUUGGUUGUCCCUACUUUUGAGGCAUGCUCAAUUUUUCUAAACACUAAACUUAUUUUUCAUCUCCACCUGAGUAGAUCUCUAUAAAUGUUGUCAUGCUACCAUUGUCUAUUCACAAUCAAGUGUUGGUUUGGAAGUACUCGACAUACUUCCAUUGGCAUUUAAAUUAAGUGUGGCGCUUAGGUUAAGUAGCCUUCCUUAAUCUGAUUAGACAUGGAGUCUAGUUUGGUUACUGAACUAAAAACUGCUUGAGUAGACAUUGGUAUAUUUUGCCAGACUAACCCCUGCAGGAAAACUUUCAAUAUCAACCUAGGAAGUCCUGAGAUACAAACUCACAUUGGAGACAAAGGAGACACAUGAAGGUUAAUGAUUUGCACAAGGAAGACAUAGCUCAUUCAUCAUAGAGAGAUGAUCCAUGGAACAAGACAAAGAGUGCCACAAACACGGUGCACAACCGCUAAGAAAGGAAAGCAUCCACAAGGUGAUACUGUACCAUCACUCUUGAAGUAAGGUAACAUCUUAAGGUACUUGACUAUCACUUUUAUAAGCUUCUCCUUGGUUCUGGCGUUCACAUGAAUAAAGAGACAAACAAAAAUUAACCAACCCAAUUAAGUCAACAUGUUUAGUCCUUUAAUCUUUGUUCUUAGUACUACCUUCAUGAUCCCACACUCCUAAUCAUAUAAGCUAAAAUGUUGCACAUUCACUCUUUGGAAGAUAUAAAAAAACAUAAAUAUAGAUAUAUUAUCUUUCCAUUAGCUCGAGCGAUCUGAUCUGACAAAUAUUUUAAAUGCUACACUCAUGAUCUUAUUAUCCAUCAACUUUGUCUUGCUCACUAUGCUUAAGGUUAGAGAAGAACAAAUACACUUUUGGUUCUAUUGGUGUUUUUCACCAACAGGGCCCAUGCACUUGAUCUCUGCCUUGUCUCUAUGAGCAGGUACACUUCGAGCGAAACCUGAAGGAGUUUUACAACUCCGAGAUUCCACCAAGUGAAGAACUUGAAUCUACGAGCACAAACACACUGAGCAGGAUGCUGCCAAUGCCACACCUCGAACUGCUGGACAAACGAAGAACAUGGGUGACACCGUAUCAAGAGAUGUAGAUGUCAAGGCCCACACCUAAUCAAAUGAUGCACCUAAAGGAUGAACACGGUGAGAAGUCUUGUCCACAAGACUUAAAACAUUGGAUUCUUGCCGGAAGGUAAAAUCAGUAUUUAUCCAUAUUUAUCUUUUCUGCAUUCCUUUUCCUUUUUAUUUCAUCACUUGCAUUAGCAUAUUUACUUUUCCACAUUAGCAUUAGAAAAGAGAACAAAAAUAUUUGUUCGUUGCACUGCAUCAUAAAAUCUAAAGCCCCAUGUGAGUAGACUUGUGGUUUAGAACCCAUAGGUAUAUUGACUGUGGUGGCAUAAAAUAAAUUUUCAUCUUAAAAUAAAAAUAUAAAAAUAAUAAGUGCAAGAUCCUGCUAAAUAAAUAAAAUUUAUUAGGAGGAAUCUCAAUAUGAUAAAGGCUAAGAGAUUUUAUGCUAACACUUAACCAGUUCCACAAAGCUUUGUUGUCUAUUUGAGCUCCAUAGAAUUCAAGAAUCAAAGAAGACUAGCCGGUGGAGGACAUAGUAAUCACUGUCAGGGUGCUGCCGAUAUUCAAAUACACCUCCGUCACCUGCUAGCUACAUCAGAAGAAAGUAUGUCAAAAUCCAGCUUGGGGGAGAGCACCCCCAUUUAUCCAGCUAAGUGUUUCUACUCGCGUUUUACUCAAAUAAUAAAAAGAUGCAUAAUCAUGAAAACCCAAACAAAAAUUUUUGUGCUUAUAUAUAUUUUUGCUUAGUUUGCUAAAUAAAUAAAUAAAGUGUCUAGGGCAAACUGAACUUAAAUGAUAAACUCUUACAUGGAUAUGAUAAAUAGUUGCUCUACCAUGCACCUAGUUUUCAUGUUUGAGCUCUUUCUCAAGUUUAGGCAUAACUGUUAUAAUUUGAACCUGCUCUAAAUCUGAACUUGUGGGAAGAGUACUUGAUCUAGAGUCUAAGUCGUUAACGGAAAUGAUAUAGAAAGGUUGAGCUGUUGUUUAUCUAUUCCUAGAGUUGCUAGAAUUCUAGAGAAUUUUAUCUUUGAAAAUCUUCAAAAUGUUGCAUGAUGAGUUCCUGUAUGAUGAGAGUUUAAAAUCCUACCACAGCCAUAUAUACAUGCUUAUUAGAUUAUGAACCAUAUAUUUACUUUUUACUGCUUAUGAGCAUUGAGUGUGGUCAAGCUGUGUAGACCCUUAUGAGCUGGUCAUGCGGUUAAAAUCAAGAUUCACUUGCACGUUCACUCAUACAUGCUACUUCUACUCUGGAAGUACGCAUCCACAUACAACCACUCAAUUCCAUCUCCAGAUUCACCCAAAAUUAUUCUACUCCUAUCCGGGAGACAAUAGCCAACAACUUUUUCCUAUCCCUGUUAUUCCCUGUGAAAUAAAUGCUCGAGAUAUUUUGGUUACUACCACUUGCUACAUUAUUCUAGGAGGGUUAGUGCUCUGAAAAAAAGGGAAAACUAUGAGGAAAUAAAAAGGGGCAAGUGCCCGGAACCUCGAAGAAAAGAAAAAGUGAGACAAGAGGUAAAAAUGGACAAGUGUGAAUUAGGGGUACAGGAUACCCACCUGAGAGAAAAGAAAAAAAAUAUAGAGCAUCUCAUUCUCCUCAAAAAAAUGUCUUCAAAGUGCAAGAAAGGUAUGUAUCUACUAAAAAGAGCAAAAGUAGAAUUAGACUUUCACCAUUGUUGUCACCAUCAUCACCAUACACCAUUCACUCGCCACACAUGCACAUCUUGAUUUGACUUAUUGACUUGUUCUUUUGGAUCCAUGGUUUGACUAUGUAAUAAAUGUCUUGUAAGUAUGUAUUAUCUGUCUCCCACCUAUGAGCUCCAGAUAUCAAAACCUUAAUAGAGUAGGGUGAUAGAGAAGGCAAUAUCACUAUGCCUCAUACCAAAAAUACCACAUACUUUGAGAGAAGGCAUUGUUGAUAUUUGGUAACACAAUCAGGAAAAUGAUCCGCAAGCGCAUGGAUAUCGGUGAGCACUUCACCCAGGAUGUUAUCCAGAGUAUCGUAUUUAUAUUUUUACCACUAGGAGAAAUAGUGCAUCUGACUAACCCGGUCUAUUACUACUAACCUUUAGGCUACAAAGAAUGUGACUAGAUGUGAGUGAUGUAUAGAGAAGACUACAACCAUAAUCUCGUUCUAACCUUGGUAAGGAUGAUCUACUGUUCUAUUGGGGAAGCUCACGACAUCUAGACACCACAGAGGAUGUUCGACCCGCACCUAUAAACCCUAUCGAUCCUACUAACGGGAUAUGGGCUGCAAAGGUAACUCAGAAAUGUCACGUUCCUCGCUACUACCAUGGUCCAGCUAGUCAGGGGAUAUCUAUGAGUAUCCUAGACCAAACACCACAUUUACGCUAGAGAUGAUUACUCUAAACUCUACACGAAAAGACCAAAGUAAACUCAUAAACCAAAGAACAAUAAAACAAGAACUUACUAGAAUUUAGAAGUCGAAAUACUGAAAAAUCCUAAGAGCAAGCCUCAGGUUAGAAGACUUGACCCCGCAGGUACAACCUCGGAGUAGACACCGACGGGCCGGGCUUCCUCCGAUCUAUACCUCUACUCUAUCUUUCUCAAUCUAGUAGAACUAGUCUACUCUCACAUUGGAUGCUAAGCCCUAAGUCUAUGUAGAGGAAAGGUUAUCCUUCGAGGGCACCUCUCAACUCUAUGAUGAACAUGUUCUCCUCCAAGGUCCAGGGGGUCUGCUUAUAUAGUCCCCUCAGGUGAUAAUUGAUUGAACGUUUAUCCUUGAUCCUUUAGGUCGGUGGAGCAUGAUCCGCGAGAUUCACCAUGAUUGGUGGAACCACCAGGGCAGGCGCCCUAGGGGGGAGGGCGGGCGCCCUGCCCCCGGACCCGAUCGCAUUCCCGUUCGUUCCCGUGGCUUCUGGAGUCUUCUAGAUGGUAGAAAAUUACGCGGCACGUUAAUAUCUCUAUGUAAACCCGACAUGUGGGCCUUUCUUCCUUAUUUCGUGAUAACCCCCUGCAGAAACAGAUAAACAACAAAACUCGUGGAAUUCUGUCAGAUCAAUCCCUAAUUCUAGGUGUUGUUUGUAUAUUAGUCCUUUCCCUUGUUUAUUUGAUAAUUAAAAUUGAUACUUAAGAACCGUCAACAAACAUCCCCCAUACUUAGGCUUUUACUCGUCCUCGAGAAAAGGAUGGUUAAAAAAUAUAUGGGGUUAAAACAUUGUAAAACAUUUUCUUCAUACCUGCAGGGUGUUGUAAAAAUCCACUGUGUAUGGUAGUUAGGGAAAUAUAUGGUCAAGAGUAGAGGUCCUUUCUUCUCAAUCCUAUUGCUUGGAGUUUUUGUAUAUAUUUUUGAAAAGAAAUUUAGCAUACCUUUAUCCUCAUAGGUUCUCAGGUCACUCAUUAUCUUUUAUAUAUCUCACCGAGGCUGUUUUAAUUUGUAGAAAUCCUUGAUCAUACUUACCUGGUAUUUAUUGCCUGAUCAAAACGGGAUCCGAGGAGAAGAAUGUCAUACUCUUAGAUCAAAGACUUUGAAAAUUAAAAACUUGUCAACUCUUACUAGCAUAUUGCUUAUUAGAGGGACCAUGGGCUAUCAUUUUCUUCUUUCUCUCUCUUUUUUUUCAGGUGGAUACCGAGGUACCCCUAAUUCUACUGCCGAACACUUGUCCAUUUUUUCUGUGAGGUUGUCGAGCACUUGCUCCUUUUUAUUUCCUCAAAAUAUUCAUAUUUUUGCAUAGCCCAUGCCUCUAAUGCAAUAAUACUUCGGAAGAGUGAAUCUUUCUGAGUAAAUGUCUUGAUCUUAGGAGCAUGAUAAAUCUCUCAACAAGGGUCUAACUCAUUUUGAACAAACUCAAUACAGAGUAGAUAGCUUUUAUAAUUAUCAUAUUAAUAUUUUCAGGUUUAUCAGGCAUAUAAAACACUGAGGAUGGUAGCUAGAAUUUUUGAAGAUUUUAAAAUAAAUUCUCCAAGCAACAUUGAUAUCAAGAAUAAGGUACUCAUACUCUACCAUCUUACAUUCCACAGUGACUUAAGUAACAUAGGGUUUUUAAAUGAUUUCUAAUAAUUGCAAUUUUUUCAGGAAAUAUCACAAAGUGAGAUUAAUCAUGAUUAGAAACAUUUUAAUCUUUUUAAUUUAUCAUGACGGAGACAAUAUUCUGCAUGAACCAAGAUAUAUGUGUAUGUGCAAAGUGUGCAGAGUAUGUACCUGAAUCGUGGAGUGGUGUAGUCGAAGUGUGUUUGGCAUGUCGAGGGGUCUCCCCAUACUUGUUUUUUGCUUUAUUGCAUAAUAAAGUAGAGACACACAAGACAUAAUAAUAAUAAUAAUCUUUAUUAAUCUUGAGGCAUUUAUUACAAAUGACUAGUAAUGAACUGAAGCUAAUAAUAGAUCUAAAUCGAAUUUAAAGAUAAAUAACUAAGAUGCAUUGCCUCAAGAUCUAAUUUAGGUAGCUUAGCGGCGCUCUAACUCCCUGAUCUUCUUAUUGGCACUAGCAAGAUCAUGCCUAAGACCUAGUAUAGCGGUGUUCUGGUUAGAGAGCUGCCUAGUGAUAGAGUUAACCAAGGACUGGAGCUCUAUGAUGACCCUGUCUAGCCUACGAACGUCCUCAUCAAUAUCUACUAUAGUCUUGUGACGCUUAGGAGGUGUCUCAAAAGCAUUGAGAGCGUGCUUCGGGGCUGCCUUUGGAGGGAUGAAACGGACUUUGGCUGCUCUAAUCCCCUCAAUGUAAGGCCUCUCCUCCUCCGUAGUGUAGCGGAUGCUGCUGAUCUCGCCGCUCUAGUUGGUCUUGACUCCAACGACCCUCUCAUUGGGUGUGGGUGGCAGGAUCCUUGUGCCGGCUGGCACCUUGACGGUGGCCUCCUUCUUAGCUGAUGGUCCUUUGAGAAGUAGGGGCUGCGGUGGUGCGGUGAGAACUCGUUGAGCAUGGUAGGAUUGGGCGGAGCUACGCUGGCGUAAUGGCAUGGCUUCUAGCCGUCGCUCUGUGUUGGCCGGGACGAGAGCGUGGGCGUCGGGGUCUUCCUUGGGCUUCUUGUUGAGGUCGUAGGGGACGACUUCCCAAUCGUUGUGGAACUCUUCGGCCAUUAGAGCAGCGAGGGACUAAACAAGCUCUAAUUAAAGAAGGAGAGAAGGCUUGAAUAGAUUGGUGUUUGAAAACUGACGUCAGGGGUCUGUUUAUAUAGGGGUCAAAAAGUGCCUCUAGGGUUUGCUCGGGCUACUCUCGCCGCCGUGCGUGCAAAACUUUCCAUCUGUAUGAUUAUUUAGUUUACCAAAAAUGUGUUUAUCGCGACGGAGGAAAUCGGGACUGAGAGGGGACAGGGGCUGGGCGCCCGCCCUCUUCAUCAGGGCGCCCGUGCUGUGCCUGGCCCCUCUGUGGGCCCGCUUCCUCGAGCGUGCUUCUAGAUGCAAACUUUAUUCGGAAAAUAUAUAUGUGGCCCAAAAACGUCAGAUUAAAAAGGUUGGGCUCUAAUUCUCCAUGGGAAGGUAGAAAUGGAUUACGUCUAUUUCUUCUAAUUCUUUAUUGGGUUCUAAAAAUAAUUUAAGACGUUGACCAUUUACCUUGAAUAACGUACCUUCAUCAUUUUGAAGUGUGAUAGCUCCGUGAGAUGAUGAAUUGAUUACCUUGAAUGGUCCUUCCCAUUUACUCCGGAGUUUUCCAUGCCCGAAAAGCUUCACCCUGGAAUUAAAAAGUAAUACCUUAUCUCCGGGUGCGAACUCCUUCUUGAUCCUCUUGUCAUGCCACCUUUUGACUCUUUCUUUAUAGAUCUUCGAAUUGUGAUACGCUUUCUCUUGCCAUUCUUCCAAUUCUGAUAGUUGCAUUCUUCUAUGACCUCCAGCGACAUCUAGGUCCAUAUUCCAUCUCCUUAUGGCCCAGUGUGCUUUGAAUUCUAGUUCAACAGGUAGGUGGCAAGUCUUCCCGUACACCAGUUGGUAUGGGGACAUUCCAAUUGGGGUCUUGUAUGCUGUCCGGUAUGCCCAGAGUGCAUCGGGUAACUUGUCUUUCCAUGCCGUUCCCAUCUCAUUGACUAUUUUCUGAAGAAUAUUCUUGAUUUGCUUGUUGGAAGUCUCUACUUGGCCACUUGUCUGAGGAUGGUAGGGGGUAGCGACAUUGUGACGGAUGCCAUGUUUUGAUAGAUAGUGUUUGAAGCGUUUGUCGAUGAAUUGUGCUCCUCCAUCACUUAUCACUACUCUGGGGACUCUAAAUCUUGGAAAUAUAAUUUCUUCAAACAUCCUCUUUGAUCUGAUGUUGUCGGCAUGCUUGCAAGGUAGUGCAUCUACCCACUUGGAGACGUAGUCAACUACCACCAAGAUGAACUCACACUUCUUUGAUGGGGGAAAUGGACCCAUGUAAUCUAUUCCACAGACAUCAAAGAGCUCAAGCUGUAGGUUGUUGGUGAGUGGCAUGGCAUCCCUUGUGUUUAUGUUUCCGUGCCUUUGACAUGGCCCACAUCUUCUGAUAUAUUGCUUCAUGUCUUCAUACAUUGUAGGCCAGUAGAAUCCACACCGCCUGAUCUUUGAAUGUGUACGGAAUGCUCCAUAAUGACCUCCAUAUGGUGAUGAAUGACAUCUAUCGAUGAUCUUCCAUCCUUCCUCAGUGGUCACACAUCUCCUAAGUAAGCCAUCAGAGCAUACUCGGAAGAGGUAUGGCUCAUCCCAUAUAUGUGAACGACUUUCGUGAAUAAGCUUCUUCUUGUUUGCUCCUAGUGGUACAUACCCUGAAACCAUAAAAUUAACAAUAUCUGCAUACCAGGGGUCAGACUUGUUAAUCCCGUAAAGCAUUGUUGGGCAUUCUUAACGUCACUACCAAAAGUAGACUUAGUUUUCUAAUUCUGAUAACGGCGCCAAAAAUGCCAAACCUAUCCCUUAUGCCACUUAAGCCAAGUUGUCAUCCCCAGCAUGACAUAAGAGAUGCGGUAUUGAAAUAUACAAUUGCUCUUCUAAAUAAAUAAUCAAAUGGGAUCUGCAAGCGCACAGAUUAAUACCGAUGUAGCAUAUUAACCGGGAAGUAUUCCAGGUAUCAUUAUUUAUAUUUUUACCACUGGGAAGGGAUUAGUAAUCAUCAAUGUUGAUUAUAGAAUGGAAUAUAGAAUUGAAUAUCUAUCAUUGCAUGUAUAAUUGAGAACAUUUAUCUAACUCUUUCAUACAGGGAUAAGUGUCACAUAAAGGAUAUAUAAAGUAAUAAAUAGUGACAAAGAUAAUUAAUCUGAUCAGCAUAACUUAGCCACAUAUAAAUAUGAUAAGCACCUCAAUUAGAUAUUCUAGCAAGUCAUUAGCAUGGAAUAAGUACGAACUACACGAAUAUUUCCUAAGUUAUUCUUAACUAUACAGUCUAGCAUAUCAUAGUUAGUGCAAUUAUACAUUGCAAUCAUUGCGAGACAAGAUUACGCCCAUGCAUAGUGAUAUUAUCAAGGAAUAUGAGAAACAUCGCAAUCACUCCCCUGUAAUAAUGUUGCUCUGCCAGCCCAAUACAUGAGAGAGGGACUAUAUAAGAAUCAAUAGAGCUGUCACUACCACGAACAACCCCGUGAUCUGGCAUAUAGGGUACAAUCACAGAUAAAUAUGGUAUAAGCACCACGUCUACACAAUAUCUAUCAUUUACCGGUGGAUUCGAUGGAUAAACCCUAUACGAUCCUAAACAUGUAUAUAAUUCCAAUCUAACUAAGCCAAGUAUAUAACUAUGAUAAACUAAGAACAAUAUAAUUGCGAAUAUAAACAAGUAGAGCAAAGUCAUAAUCAAUAUAUUGAAGUAGAACAAAGUCAUAUUCUUAAUAUCAAAGAACAAAGAUGAACAAUUGAAGAACAAUAGAGAAUUACCAAGAAUCCUCUUGACAGAUCCGGAAACCAAUCGAAGAUUGACUCCUUCUAGUUCUAAUCCUAUGUAGCUAUGCUAAUCAAGAGAUCUAAUUGAUGUGGUGGCUCUAGGGCUUUAUCAGAGGCUUCUUCUCCCUGAUGAAUAAUGAAUUAGGGUUGAGAGGUGCCCUCCUCCAGGGGCCAGGGGGUCUGCUUAUAUAGUCCCUCCAAGUGAAUAUGGGCCGUCGGAUCAAACCGACGUUGAUUGAACGGUUAUCCUUGAUCCUUUAGGUCGGUGGACCGUAAUCCCCGAAACGAGUCGUGAUUGGACUCUAGGACAGGGCGGGCGCCCUAGGGGGGAGGGCGGGCACCCUGCCCCCGGGCACGAUCGCCUUCCCGUUCGUUCCCGUGGCUUCUGGACUCUUCUAUAUGUAAGAUAAUUGCGCGGCACGUUAAUAUCUCUAUGUAAUCCCGACGUGUGGGCCUUUCUUCCAUAUUUUCCGAUAACCCCCUGUAGAAAUAGACAAACACCAAAACUCGUGGAAUUCUGUCAGAUAAAACCCUAAGUCUAGAUGUUGAUUUCAUUUGGAUCCUUUUCUUUGUUUAUUUGAUAAUUAAAUUUGAUACUUAAGGACCGUCAACAAACUCCCCCAAGCUUGCCUCUUGCUCGUCCCUGAGCAAGGAUAAUCUCAGUGAUAGAUCAGAAGUUGCUGCAAUACCUUUAAAAGUUGACGGUACACAUGGUUUCAAAUAAGGUCUCAUCUGUGAGUUAGAGUAAACUGUCAAGACUUAAAACUUAUUCAUCUUACCUUUCACCAUUGGACUUGUAACCAUCACUUCUGUCUUGAGCAGUUAAAAGAUAGAACGGUCUAGUCAAGCGCCAUGUCUCUUAUUCUUGAUCAGCUAUAGCUCUGGAGUUUUUGCAGAUUUUCAAAUAAAACUCAGAGAUUCCUUGUAUGACUCUCUCAGAUCUCUCUUUUGUAGUAUUUCUGGAUCGUUACCAAGGCAGUGAUGGUAUAUGCCUUCUCUCAGAAUAUGUAGUAUUUGUGGUAUAAGGCAUAGUGACAUUGCCUUCUCUCUCACCCUACUCUAAUAAGGCUUUAAUAUCUGGAGCUCAUAGGUGUGAGAUAAAGUAUACAUACUUACAAGACAUUUAUUGCAUAGUCAAACCAUGGAUCCAAAGAAACAAGCCAAUCAGUCAAAUCAAGAUGUGUAUGUGUGGUGAAUGAAUUGUAUAUGGUGAUGAUGGUGAUAACAAUGGUGAAAGUCUAAUUCUACUUUUGCUCUUUUGAGGGGAUACAUAUCUUUCUUGCUCUUUUGAAACUUUUUGAGGAGAAUGAGAUGCUCUAUAUUUUAUUUUUCUUUCCUCUCAGGUGGGUAUCUUGUACCCCUAAUUCUACUGUCAGACACUUGUCUAUUUUUACCUCUCGUCUCACUUUUUCUUUUCUUUCGAGGUUCCGGGCACUUGCCCCUUUUUAUUUCCUCGUAGUUUUUCUCUUUUUUUAGAGCACUCAUCUCUUGAAAUAAUAUAGCAAGUGGUAGUAACCAAGAUAACUUGAGCAUUUAUUUCACAGGGGAAAAACAGAAAUGGGAUAAUGUUUUUGGCUAUCCUCUCCCGGAUUAGGAGUAGAAUAUUUUUGGGUGGUUUUGGAGAUGAGAAUGAGUGAAUAUAUGUGGAUGCGUACUUCCGAAGUAGAAGCAGCAUGCGUGAAUGAACGUGCAAGUGAAUCUUGAUUUUAACCACAUGAUAAGCUCCUAAGGGUCUACACAGCUUGACCACACUCAAUGCUCAUAAGCAGUAAAAAGUAAAUGUGUGGCUCAAAGUCUAGCAAACAUGUAUAUAUGGCUAUGGUAGGAAUUUAAACUCUCAUCAUAAAGGAACUCAUCAUGUGUUAAAGAUUUUCAAAGAUAAAAUUCUCCAGAAUUCUAGCAUCUCUAGGAACAGAUAAACAGCAGCUCAACCUUGCCAUAUAAUAUCCGUUAACAACUUAGACUUCAGAUCAAGUUCUCUUCCCACAAGUUUAGGUUUAGAGGAAGCUUUAAAUUAUAAUAGUUAUGUCUAAACUAGAGAGAGAACUCAAAUUUGAAAAUUAGGCAGAGCAACUAUUCAUCAUAUCCAUGCUAGAGUUUUAUUAUUAAGAUUCAGUUUUGCAUAGCCACUUUAUUUAUUUAUUAAACACACUAAGCAAAAGAUAUAUAUAUAUAUAUAUAUAAGCACAAAAUCUUUAUUUGGUUUUUCAUAGUUAUGUAUAUUUAUAUUUUAAUAUAGUAUAAGUAUAAAGAUAGAUAUACAUACUUAGCGAGAUAAAUGGGGGUGCUCUCCCCCAAGCUGAAGUUUGACGUAAUUUCUUCUGAUGUAGCUAGCAGGUGGCAGAGGUGUAUUUGAAAGUUGGUAGCACCCUGACAGCGAUUAGAAUGUCCUCCGUCUGCUAGUCUUCUUGAUUCUUAAAUUCUGUGGAGCUCAAAUAGACAACAAAGCUUUGUGGAACUGAUUAGGUGUUAGCAUAAAUAUCUAGCCUUUAUCAUGUUGAGCCUCCUCAAUAAAUGUUACUCUCUAUUUUUAUAUUUUCGUUUUAUAAAGUAGAAAAAUAUUUAUUUUAUUUUUAUGCCACCAUAGUGAAUGUACUUAUGGGUUUUAUGCCACUCAUGUACUCACAUGGGGCUUACUAUUUUUUAACAUUUUUAUUUUCUUUUUAAAAUGAUAUGAACCUGAUUAACUAAGAAAAUUAUUUUAAAUAAUUGAAAGGAAAAGGAUAACUACCAAGUUUACCUCUUGGCAAGGCGUUCGGUGUUUUUAAGUCAUCCGAACGGGACUCUCUGUUUUCUCAGUUGUCAUGGGGUUUGUUGGGUGGCGCAGUCGGUGCUUCCAGUGGCGCCUCCUAUUCGUGUAUAGUUAUCUUCUCUUUCCACACCUGACUCGGUGCUAUGGUCUCCUUAGGAUAAUCUUGUUCAAGCUGUAUGUCCUCAGAUCUUAUCACUUCUCCUUCAUAGUCUGCCCAUCCAUCCUUGAUGAUUUCCCUCCUCUAGUUGCGGUUGCGUCGUCUUCUUCUUGUCCUGACCUGCUUAGAGUCUUCAACUAUAUAAUUAGGGUCAGUAAAAUAGCGACGUACCUUCUCUGAGGGGAAGUGUAUAUGGACUUCUCCAGUUCCAAUGUAGAUGAUUGCUUUAACGGUGCUAAGGAACGGUCUUCUAAGGAUGACGGGUGGAUCGUAUUCGUCUUCUCCCAUGUCAAUAACCUGAAAGUUAGUGUAGACAAAAUGAUCGUCUAUUUUGACAGGGACAUCAGUUACUAUACCUUUAACCUCUCGAAAUGUCUGAUCUGCCAUCUGGAGCUGAAUGUAUGUUGGUUUUAGGGGCAUGGUUCCGUACAAGAGCCGACAGGUGACUGCGGCCAUUAUGUUGACGCCCGAUCCGGUGUUGCAAAACGUCUUGUAGAAGUUGUAUCCAUUUAUGGAGCAAUAGAUACUUGGCAUUCCUGAGUCGUCCUUCUUGGUCAGAAAUGGUGACUUAAGUCGAUGAUCUUGUCCUUCAUGAACUGCACUGACCAUCUUAGCUGACUCGGUCCACACUUGCUUUUUCCUGUUCCUCCUGUUGGUCCUCUUCCUCGGUUUUUGUUG